Molecule: long non-coding RNA, 50224 nt
Filed under: Citrus sinensis (sweet orange)
Lineage: Eukaryota; Viridiplantae; Streptophyta; Magnoliopsida; Sapindales; Rutaceae
Description: long non-coding RNA (CSIN_LNC002323)
Source: RNAcentral
CUUUUAUUAUAGAAUAAAUCUAAGAUGAUGGAUGAUGGAUGCGUCACAUAAAAGUUAAUUAAUUUAAUCGCUGUCACUGCUGCUGCUGCUCUCGUGUCCGUCCUCGUGCUUCUUCUUCUUCUCCUUCUUUUUCUUCUUCUCUUCACCGUGGGCGGCGCCCUCGCCGCCGCCGACACCGGGGAUCUUCUGCUUGAUCUUGUCCACCAAGCCCUCCUUGUGUUCGCCCUCCUUGUGUUCCCCGCCGUGAUGCUGCUGCUGAUGGUGAACAUCAGUAGUGCCGACACCGGGGAUCUGCUGCUUGAUCUUGUCCACCAAGCCCUCCUUGUGUUCGCCGCCGUGAUACUGCUGCUGAUGGUGGACAUCAGUAGUGUGGUGGUCCCCACUAUGGUGCUCUCCCUUGUGCUUGUCCUCCUCCUUUUGCCCUCCUCCCAUGUGAAGGGCUUCUCCGAUCUUGUGAAUAACUCCUGACAUUUUCCCUUAAAAUGACUCUGUUCCUCUUCUUUUCUUUUCAAUGAAAAAUAGUUGUUUGCGAUCUUCUUCUGGUUGUUGUUGUUCUUGUUGGGUGAUCUUGGCUUGGUAUUUAUAGGCUCCAAAAGGAGGGACUAGAAUUAGGAUUAGAUUAUAGAUUAUUUUAAUACAUUUUAUGGCAAAUUCUGAUUUGGAAAGAUAAGAUUAUCCUUUUGGUUUUCCUUAUUUACCCUUUUGCACCCAUUACGUGUACGCGUCUUCGUGGGCUUUUUGGGUAUUUCAAUUAUAUCGCCAAUGCUAAAUCGACACGUUGCAUAUCAGCCGCGGUACUGCCGUAUGUAGUUGUCCAGAAAUCGAGUCGAUUCUCGAUCGUACAAUAAUUAAAUAAUAUUUCAUACGAAAUGAGUUUAGAUAUAUUUUGAAAAUUUAUUUUUAAUUUAAUUAUACGUGUUAUAUAUUUGUUAAUCGAAUAGAGGUCCCACGUAACAGAGUGUUUCUCUAAUCUUUCAUUGCUUUUAAUUAAUUUUACCCAAAUAAAAAAAAAAAGGAAAAUUUAGAGAGAGAGAGAGAGAUAGCGAAUUAGAAGUUGAUUGUAAUAUCGACACCUGUCAGACAAUCAAAUAUCGUUAGUUAAAAAUCAGUUGUCCAUAGUCAUGGUCAUAGAUGGCGAAAUUGAUACUUAUUUUAAAAAACAAAACAAAACAAAACGAAACGAAACUAAACUAACAGAUGUUGAAAUGCAGUUCCGUGUUAACAGUCUGUGAUGAAUCUUUAUCUUUGAGUAUACCAUUCAAGAAAUUAUCAUUCAAAAAUUUAUUUAAAGCAGCAGCAAAUCACCUUCUAAUUCCUGAAUCAAAUUAAUUCGAUUUUUUUCGAGUCGAUCAAUUCAUUAGAGAAUUAACGGGCUAAGUUAAAGUUUUGUUAGUUAUUUUUUUUUAUAUUCCUUUAGAUGAUAUGAUUGUCAUUGUCUUUCUUUCUCUGGGCAACAAUAAAUACAAGAUGUGCAAAAGCGUAGUGGAACAUAAUUCGAUUAUGGGUAAAGGGAUCAGUCCGCAUAAUGAGGAUAAAGUUUUUCUCUUUAAAAAAAUUUAACCCAAAGAAAAGGUCGUAGUUUGUAAUAGCCGACACGCAGAUAGAUCACAAAGCAUGGCGGUCCUGAUGGCAAUAACUAACUGAUAUCUUCUGCGAUGAGAGGAGAUCACGUGGUUCUGACACGUAUCGCCCCAUCAACUGAUGUUGUGGCUGCAAUCGCGGCCCAGUCUUUAGAGAGAAGAAAGAUCUGUUAUAACGGGACCUACUUUAGCAUCUAUUUACGACAAAGCCCCUAUUUACUCUACUUAGUAGUAAUAAUAGCAAGUGUCGGGCUUGGAUUCCGUGUUGCUUUAAAUAAAUAUCCGCGUAAAAAGAAAAUGCUUCUUUAAUCCCUUCCUUGUAAUUUUUCGACACGUGGAUGGUUGAAAUUAGCGUGCCGACAUCUUAGGAAUUUUAUCUUGGAGACGGGAACACUGCAGUAGGCAAUGCCAUUUUCUUCGGAUGGUGUGUGGUGACAACGCCUUGGAUUUUGACGUGCAAAGAAUUUAAAUUGAAAAAGAAAAAAAGAAAUUACCAGAAUAAGCAUAGAAGAGAUAUUUUUCUUUUUGUCCUUUUUGGAAUGGAAAAAGAGAUCAAGAGAUUGUUCCAGUAAGUAUUACACAUGUCACAGGCUUAUUCAUGCCCCAUUAUGGCAACUUUUAUGCCUCGCGGUGCCCUCGGUUCCAGCAUAAUAGCUAAGACUUCAAUUUUUCUAACAUAUUUUUGUUACAAAUAUGAACGGAGUAAAUGUAUAACUUUAAUCCUUUGAAUAAAGAAAUGGCGGUUCUCCUGCUCGUUAAUCUCACUUGAAUCCCACCCAGGCAAAAUUUCUUUAUUUUAUUUAACAACAAUUUAAAGAAAGAAACUUUUGCCAGGUUGAAUUUCAAGUGAGAUUCAUUCGUGGGAGAAGUGCCAUUUCUUUAUUCAAAAGAUUAUGGUAAUUACAACUUUCAAUUUCGACAUAAAUUAAAAUUAUAGGCUAUACAAUAAAAUUGCCCUAAAUUAGUCCUAAUCAAUUCAGAUUAUAAAUUUAGGUAUAUUUAUUAUUUUAAUAUAUUAAUGUUCUAUAUAUAUAUAUAUAUAUAUAUAUAUAUGUGUGUGUGUGUGUGUAUNNNNNNNNNNNNNNNNNNNNNNNNNNNNNNNNNNNNNNNNNNNNNNNNNNNNNNNNNNNNNNNNNNNNNNNNNNNNNNNNNNNNNNNNNNNNNNNNNNNNNNNNNNNNACAGCAGAAAAUAUUUGCUAUGGAUAAGGAGACAUGGUCCCACGUCCCACCGUCCCAAUGCAUAUUUUGUAUGUUUCCAUCUUUUCUGAAAUUUUAAUAAAUAAAGUUUUUUGACCACUUGGCCAAAGAACCUUACCCUUACACAACUUUGUGGUUGGAGUCCUGUGAUACAUGUAAGAACUUAUUUUUUUUCUUAAUUAUAAUAUUUUAGAAUAUAAUUAAGUGAAGUAGGUUUUUUUUUUAAAUAUGAGUAAAAUAGAUAUUUUUUAAAUAUUAAAGAGAGUAAAAUUUGAAUAAUAAUAUAUUAAAAUUAAUACAAACUAAUUUUAAUAAUUAUUUAAUUAUAAAUAUCAAUUAUAACAUCAUAUAAUAUCAAUUAUAAUAUCGUACAUCUCAAUUAAUUCAAUAAUAAUAAUAAUAAAUGUUUUUUGGGAUAAGUAAACAGUCGCAUGGCGACAAUAGUGGAUCUGGAUUAGAGUGAAGUGGUCCCAAGAGGCUGAGGCUGUGGCUGUGGAGUUCUAAAAGUCAAAAGCUCCACGCACUUUGUUUCAGUACCAUACACACUGAAAAAAUUUGCAUUUGCAAUGACGAAAACUUUUCACGAAAUCAAAACACCUCUAAACUAUUUUGUUAUCGAUAUUUAAUGGAGGGGUUUCCUACCUUUUUAACACUCGAUUCACGCCUUGACGCAUCUCACAGAAAACCUCAUGAUCCCAUUAAUCUUGCGUAACAUAUCUCAAAGCCAAUGCAAGUGAUCUUGUUGCCUACUUCCCUUUGACGAUUCAAAAUUGUUGAAAAUAAUUCUUUUUUUUUUUAACCUCAAGGAAGUGACAAAAUAUAAAAGAAUAUUUUCUACACAUUAAACAUCUAGAUUUUUUUUUCUUUUCUUUUUAGAGUACUUGCACAAACCGUUUCCAAGAGAGACCUUUUUUUUUUUUUUUUUUUUCCGGGCUUGGUUACUAAUUUGGUGUGAAUACUCUAUGGUGAAAAAGGAAUCACAAAGCUGUAAUCAAUUUUUUUGCAUCAUUUAGUUGUAACUUGAACAUUGGGAGGUUUAUAAAGAAUUAAAUUAAUUAUAAUGCCUCUACUAGGAAAAGUUCAGAGUAGCCCUUCACAACUUUUUAAAGGCUUAAUAAUUUUCGCUUUCUUCCUCUCAUAACAUAACAAAAAAUUAAGAGCUUUACUCGUACACGUCCUAUGGCUAUAUAGUAUUGGGUUCUCUACUUCAAUCGGCUAUCUCAAACCGAAGGUUAUUUGGACACACCAGCAGUCACGUUUGGAAACUCUCAAAUGCUUGGAUUGUAAUUCUUGUGGAUGAGAUCAUCUAAAUCUUGGGCCCAAGCCGGACAAUGGGUGGACAAAGAACCCUAAAAUACAGUAAAGCUUCUAACACCCCACUAAAACUCUUAAGAAAUCCUACCUUUUAUUUUUAUAUCUCUUUCUUUUAGAAAUUAUAGAGAAGACAUAGCAUUUUAAUUAUUUUCCCUGCCAUUGAAAAUAAAUUCUGUAAACAUAUUUUUUCAUAAUAAAAUUAUUGUUAUUAGAUAAUUUAUUUCUUCAUUGUUUCAAAAUUAUUAUAAUUUUAUCAACAAAAUUAGUUAUGUCAUAUAUUAGGAUUAAAAUUAAUUAGGAUCCAUAACUUGUAAAGACAUUUUAGUUUAAUUGAAUUCAUAUUUGUCAUUUUAUGUAAUUUUCAAUAAAAAUACGACUAUGAGUGCAAAAGUGGGAUGACAUAAUAUUAAAAGAGUGUGAAAUAAUCGGUAAUUGAAAUGGAUUGAAAUCAUAAUAGAGUAUGAAAAUCAGAAUAAAUUGUUUACUUUAGUUGUAGAAAUCAAAAUUAAAAUAAACCAUAUUAUCAUUGAUGUAUAUAUGUUUUCUUGUAAUCGAAAUGAAUUCUUAUAAGUUACUAUAAGACCCUUAUGGUGUGUUUACUAAUCAGAAAUCAGAAUGGAGUGGAAUUUGAAUAUAGAAUGGUAGGGGUAUUCGCGGAUCGGAUUUUACGGAUUGGACAUUAAUUCAUAUCCGAUCCAUAAUUUUACGGAUUAUAAAUUCUCAACACAAUCCAAAUCCAAUCUAUAUGUUUGCAGAUCGGAUGCGGAUUUGACUCAAUUCAUAUCCAAUCCACUAUUUGACGGAUUGAUUUUGGAAUUAAAAAUUUUUAAUUUUGUCCAAUCUAUGAGGUAAUUAAAUUUAAAAAUCUAAUAUAAAAAUAAUUUAUUAAAUAAAAAAUUAACGUAAAAAUAAUUUUACUACCAAUUAAAUUCAAAAUUGAACAAGAUUUAAAUAAAUUAAUUAUUUAAAUAAAACUAGAAUAAUUUAUUUAAAAUUUUUAAAUAUAACAUAUCGAAAAAAAAUUCAUUUGUUUAGAUUAAUAUAUGAAAAUUAACUAAAAUUAUGAAUUUAAAUGUUGAAAUUUGAGAGCUUGGAUGUAACAGGAAGAAAUUAAGAAACUUGAAGAACUUGAAAAGAAAGUAACAAAUUAAGCUUAACUACCUCUAAUGGUGAAGUGAAACAGUGAUGGUUUGUGCGUGCAAUGGGGUACAAAUUUGGCAUUAUAUGCCAAAAUAUUUUGUUUGGCUUUAGAAUUUUUAAUGUUUAGGAAGCUAUAUUUGUUUAUUUAAUUACUCAAAUAUUUAAUUAUUUUUUAUUUUAUGUUAUUAUUGAAUAAGAUAUAAUAUUGUGUUAAUUUAGCUAUACUUUAAUUAAUUAAUUAAUUUAUUAGUAAGUAGCAUUGCUACAUUUAUAAGUUUUAUUUUUUAUUAAAUAAAUACUUUUUUUUUUCAGAUUCACGAAUUUUUACGGAUUUACAGAAAUAAAUCCAUAUCUAAUCCAUCGACUGUGGUUUUUUAAAUUUUCAUUCCAAUCCGAUCUACCAAUCCACAAAUUAUAUUUUUACGGAUCGGACGAAUUGAGCGGAUCAAAUUGGGUUCUGAACACCCCUAGAGAAUGAGAAUCAAAAUAAAUUAUUUACUUUAGUUGUGUGAAUCGGAAUUGGAAUAAAUUGUACUGUCAUUGAUGUGUUUACUUUAUCUUGGAAUCAGAAUGAAUAAUUUCAAAUUACUAAACUGACCUUAAUUUUUUAUUGUAAUAAUAAUAGUAGUAGUAGUAGUAAUAGUAGUAAUUUUCUAUUAUUAUUAUUAUUUUCUCUCUCUUUUGUUUUUAUUUUUUUAUUUUUCUCUUCUUCUUCUCUUCCUCUUUUUUUAUUUUUCUCUAAUUCAUCGAUACUUCUUCUUCUUCUUUUUUCUUUCGUUUUUAUUUUUAAUUUUUCCCUUCUUUAUCGUUCCUUCUUCUCCGUCCAUUCUCUAUCUUCAAACUCUUUUUACUUUUUCUCUUAUUCUUCAUUACUUCUUCUCCCUUUUUUUUUUUUUUCUCUUCUUUAUUAAUUCUUCUUCUUCUGCGUCUAUUCUUCAUCUUCAAAUUAUCAAGUGAAAAAUACCCACGGUGCCUUACAAGAAGAAUUGGUUUUGUUUGCUUCAAUUAUUUUUUGUAUUUUGUACUUUUGAUUGUUUCAAAAGAGGAUAAACUUGUAAUAAUGCAAUUUAAGUAGGGAUGUUUUAGACAAUUUUGGGUAUGAGAGUCUAAUUCCCAACCCCCCACUCCCUCGUAGCAGACUCCCAUUCUUCAUUCCUAACUUGGUGUUGGACCUACUAAAAUAAAUCCCAUUCCCCUUCUUAUUUCAAGAAGCAAACACGAUUUUGAUUUCAAUUCCCCAAUCCGAAAGUAAACGCACAAAAAUUGUACCCAUAUGAGAUUGCUUAUCCUCGAGUUUUUAGAUUGAAAAAAAAAAAGGAAAAAAGAAUGGCCCCAUUAGGAAGGGAUUUUAAGUGUUAGAUAAAGCCGGUGUUAACCAUUAGAAGGUCUCCGACCUUCAACUGUAAUAUAUUAAACCCAGAUAAAUUUACAUAUAAAUCACACAAACCAACAUGCCAAUCAAAUAAAUUACAUCAACUAACAACAAUUGACACAUUAAUUUUCAUAAUACAGAGGAUGCAGAAAAUUAAAAUGUUUUAUCUUUUCUCCUUAUUUGUGAAUUGGAAAAUGAAAAUGUUAAACAUACAGAAGAGUGAAACAGGAUGGAUAUAUAUACACACACACACACACACAGCUUUGGAGUUCAAUGUCAUCGUAUUGCUCCAAGAAGAUUGGCGCCAUCAAGCUUUGCACCUUCCAGAUGCUGUUUAAUCAUCACCAUAACACCUUCAGUAGACAUUAAUACAUAAUAGAAACACAAAAUUCACAUGAUCUGAAUGUCUGGUCUAUUUUACUUACCGUAUCUCGAAGAUUUACGUGCCGUAAAUAAGCUCUUUGAAGGUUGGCACCCUUUAAAUUGGCAUUACGUAGCUUUGCACCCUGCCGCAUAAAUGUUCGAAGUUUCAACAAAUUAAAGUCUCCUGAGAAAUACAUGUCACGAAAAAGUAGGGCUGAAACUUGCAUCUAAUGUACAAGAUUCAAUCAGGGGUGCUUGUCCCACAGUGAAAGUGUAUGGGGGAAAGUGCACUUUCACAAACCAAAGGGGCAAGAUGUGAUUAUCACACGAUUACAAAAGGACUGUAGUCAAGAGAGAGAACUGAACAUGCAGCUUGUAUUGAGGCCAUGAAAAUUGAUGAAAAGCAGUAACAAGCAACCAUUUUGAAAACACUUCAUAUGGUCGAAUCAAUAAAUCAAAGCUAAAAUGAUGUUGACGAUCGAUAGCUUUUAGGUGAUAAGAGUCUUGGCACUACAGUUAAAAUUAUUAUCUAGGAGUGCACACAUUAAUAAAAAAAAACACAACCAAUAAGCAUGCACUCUUAAUCAGCAUAUAAAUUAACAAGUUAGUUGCACCUUAUGUUGUUCCACAAACAGAUUGCUCGAACAAUUCACAAUCUUACCUUCAAAUUAGCUCCUUCCAAAUUAGCUCCCUCUAGGUUGGCAUUAGUAAGAUCAGCAGUCUGAAAAGUCAAGAGGACAAACAGAUUGCAAUUUGAUUAAAAUCUCAAAGUAGCAACAUUCUGCAUGAAAGAAGAGCAGCACAAUUGGCAACAUACAUUUUAGAUUAAGAGGAUGGGAUAAAAGCAAAAUUACAAGGACAUGAAGCAAAUGAGCCAUGUUUAGUAUGGCAAUUUUGACCCAAUAAUUGUGGCAGGUCUUGGAGAUAACAUAGGCAUACACAUAAGGCAGAAGCAAAUACUGUCGCAAACUCCUAGCUAACUACAAAUGUUCCAUAUAGAAAAAAACACCUGCAAAAGUAAGGGAAAAAGCAACAGAUAAAGAACUCAAGAUGCUAGACCUGUAAGUGUGCAGAUCGCAGGUCUGCUCCACAGAAGCUGCAGUCUAUCAAGCAAGCAUCUGCAAUGAUUUAAGAUAAAUUUGAAUCCAAAUGACAUUUUACCGCAAGUAGUUCCAGCCAUUUUGGGAACAAACAAGAAAUGCUAUUUUGUAUUCAUUGUAAUUCCUUAAGCUAAAUAACAAUCAUGUGCUAUCUUAACCAAGGUACAGUUGCAAAUUCUGAAAUUGUGAUGCCAUAGGUUGUUCUUAAUCUUUUUGAACUGAAUAUUGAAAAAAUAUUCCUUCAAUCAUAAAUGUUAAAUAAUUAAAAGAACUGUGAGGGGGGNNNNNNNNNNNNNNNNNNNNNNNNNNNNNNNNNNNNNNNNNNNNNNNNNNNNNNNNNNNNNNNNNNNNNNNNNNNNNNNNNNNNNNNNNNNNNNNNNNNNNNNNNNNNNNNNNNGGGGGGGGGGGGGGGGGAAUGAAUAAGCGGAUGCAUACAGAAAAUUAUGGAAAAUCUGUUAUGGAAAUAAUAUGAAAAUGGGUAUGCAUAACUACAUACUGAAUCUUGACUAAUUUCAAUUUAAUUCAGAUAAGAAAUUCCAGUAUGGGAAUUGCCUUGUAAAUUUGCACUCUGAAGAUUUGCACCAGCUAGUAAAGCUCCACGAAGGUUUGCCCCAGCAAAUUCACAUCUUCCCUAGGCAAGAUAAAACCCUUAAAAGGCAAUUUUGAAAAAUACAUAUAAUUGGGAGAAUAUCCAGUAUUGCUUUGACUCUCUUACUCACGCAAAGUUGCAUUGUGAAAAAUGGAACCCUCAGCAUCCACAUCCUGUAUCAAGAACAGACAGAUUCAGUAUGAUUAAUAUAACUGGUUGCUGGAAGACAGGACAAAAUCGCAUCUUGUCACUGUCAACUUGCAUGUUAAGAAUUAAACACGAAAACUGCAUGCUGUCCAAUUAUAAGAAACCUAUAAAAUUCAAAUCAACAUCAAUACUGGCUUAAGGAAGAUAUAAAAAUAAAAAUUAUACCAACCCGAAAUUUCGCAGAUUGAAGAUUUGCACGUGAGAAGAAAACAUUUCUAAGACACGCAUAGCUGAAGUCCACAAGUGAAAGAUCCUGGCCAUUUUAAUAAGAUAGCAUCAGAGGAAACAAUAUCUAAUGAAUAUAUAAUGUUCUUUCUUGCUUAUCUGAGAAUACUAAUGAGAUUAUCAAAAAAACUCUAAGCUACUGCUAAGAAGUCUUGUGUUACAUGAGUAUGAAUUGAGGAGGUAAAGAAGACCCUUCUCCAAUAAGUUACCAUAGAAGCCACAUAAAACCCUAAAGCAGUUACAAACUUACAAUGACCAGAAUAAACCACCCCAACUAUCUAUUGGCAAGUAAAAUCACUUCUCUGGAUUUCUGAAAACUAGCAAAACAAAUGCAUAAAUUGGCAAAUUCGAUGAUUUCCUCUGAAAACCAAAUUAUAGCAGACAUAAAACUUGGAAGUAUUCAUAGAAUAAAAAUCUUUCAAGCACCUCAAUUCAGUAAUUAUUACCAGCUUAGAAAGAUCAAGGCCAGAAAGAUUAAGUCCUCGAAAUCUGACUUUUUCAGACUGUAUACACUUGAUGAUAUCAAUGCGUGUUAGCUCAGUAUCUAACUCAUUAUCUUCCUUUCUCUUAUUUAUGACAGCAUGGAUUCUCUCAAUUAGUCCCUGAAAUGAAACACAUUAGAUGCAAACUAUUAUUUGAAAAAAGAAAUACAUUUUAUCCACUAACACACAUGGAUUUCAACAGCAAUCAUACAAUAAUUGAGGAAGGACGGUCAUAUCAGACUCAUCUGCCAAGAUUCAAUAAGCACAUCAAACUUGUUUACAUGUAAUUUCCACAUUCCACGUGAAUUUAUAAGGUCUGCCUAAGCAAACCAAAGAAGGCUACACUCAGUACUGUGUGUAUACUGCCUUACCUUUGCUGUUCCCCAGAUACCGUCCUGCAAUCCAGAUACUUAGCUGUGAAGUUUCAAGCCAGCGAAACCAUUUUAAAAGUACACAUGGACACAGAUACCAUUAUCUGAAUCAUCUUCGAUAACAAAUUAAAAUGCCCUAGCGUUCAAAAAACUUAGGAUCUCUUUAAGUGAAGUUCCUUUAAAAAAGUAGAAAAAAACUGAACAACAAUGUCAUGCUAAUAAAAGGUAAAAAAAAUAAAAUAAAAUAAAGCAUAAGGACAGAAGUUCACCAGGAGCAUGCCAGUAUAAACCAAAACGACCACAAAUCUCAACCAUAAAAUUUAAAGUAGUAAAGUAAAUAAUCAAGGGCAUGCAGUUGGCACAGGUGCUUCCAAAUAAAAUGAUGAUUCUUUUCAAACAGAAAAAAGAAAUGGAUGUUAAUAAACUAGAAGAAACCAUGUCUUACAAGUAAUUGAUAAUAUUCUGCUUCCCGUAGAAGCUCUAAAAACUCUGACUCUGUUAAUGUGGGGACAGCCCCAUCCCUUAACCAAUUCAGAAUAUGCCGAAAAUGUUUUCCGUCCCUAUCAACAAAGAUAUAGCCCUGCAAUAAUUCAAUAUGCUCAAAGAUAAGAAUCUGAAUAAUAUACCCAAGAGAAGUGCUUUUCCCUGGAAUAAUAAAAAGAAAAUAAGUCAAAACGUUUUUCUUAAUGGAAGAACACAAAGGAACAGCUCUAUGACUAACAUGAAAACCAUAAAUCAGAAUAAGAACCCAAAACUGGUCAUUUGGAGUUUCACCAGAUCAAAAAGAUCACAUGGAAAUAAAAUUGUGAAAAUGGGAUUAUUUAUGCCGAGGUCAUGGCUAAACUGCAAUCAUUACUCCAUUUUUGGUAGAAGGAGAAGAAGAAAGAAGAGUAGGUGAGUCAUCAUUCUUUCAGGUGAGUCAUCAUUCUUUCUCUGUGAUUAAUUGAUAUGAUGGAAGUGUUGUAGAUAUUAAUUUGAUAGUGAUUCCUCCCUUCAAAAGAAUUCAUUCCUUUUUUUAUUAUUUCACAAAGUUUAACUAAGACUGAGUUUUCUCAAUUUGAAGGCAUCGUGCACUCUACCCCUUUCUUUUCCUCACAUUGCUUCUUCCCAAUCCCAAAGGGAAGAAAUCAAGAAACAAUUACAAUUUUUAACUAUUCACCAGCAAAAACAAGGCAAAGAAAGAUGCUGAGUGUAAGCAAAAAUAAGAGAGUUAUACACCUCAGAGUCUUGGCACACAGUAUGGCGACCGCUGAACAUAGCUGCAAGCAUAGAUUCAGGCUCACGACGAGUCAGAGUAUCAAUUGUUGUAUAAAAUUUCUUUCCCCCUGGAUAUUAAUACAUAAAAUAUAAAUUUGUUCACUUAAAAGCAUGAAUUGUGCAAAUUUGUCAAUAAUGUCAUUCUUUCACAAACGUUCACCGAAAUGUAUAACAAUAAGUGCAUCAUAACAUAACUAAACGGCUUAAGAACUGCGCAGAUAUUACAUACAGUAGAGAAACAAGAAAUAGAAAAUGAGAUUUGCCCUUUUUAAACAGAAAGCAAUCAAAGAGUAAACUAAAGAGCUAAUAAUUCACAAAAUUCAGUUGAUUAAACUCAUUUACAAGUAAUUAGCAACAAAAUCCAAGCUAAAUAAAAAUAAUGAAAAUUAGGUUCUUAUAACAUCCGUCAAUUCUAUGAAAGUUUACCACGAUCAGCAACAAAUAGAUAAAUCGCAAUAAAGAAAAACCGACGACAUGUCGGUUGUGUAGUGCAUAAGUAAAGGAAUUUGCAGAUGAUGUAAAGAGAAUGAGGGAUAGUAACUGACCGAUGUUGAGACGAACCAUUGAAGACGAAUCGGAGUCCUUCGCCAUUGUCGAGUGUAAUGACUUGUCGUCUUACUUGCGCUCAUAGGUAUUUAUAUCAUAGCUGACACUGUUCGAAGGACAGCAAGGAUUUGGUGGGCACAAAUGCAUUUUGGAAAUUGGGCUUCGGCCCAAGAAAUCGAAAAUCAGAGGCUUUUUUUUAAAAAAAAUUUAAAAGGAUUAGAAUGUCUAUAAAUUAAUAGGGCUGAGACCAUCUUAAAUCUAUUAAGUAAAAGAGAUAUUAAAUAUUUUAUUAAUUAAUAAUUUAUUAAUUUACAGAAUUAUUUAUAAUUCAAUUAACAUACAUUUAAUAACUAAACAUUCAAUGUACAUAAUUUCUGAUUACAAUUCAAAGCACUAACAAUACUUCAUAAUUUCUUAUUACAAUUCAAGAAUUCAACCUCAUAGCUUUUAGAUGCAAUAAGAAAAAUAAGAAAUAAGAUUCAGUUAUAUUUAAAUUUUAAGAAAAAAACAAUAAAAUCAUAUUUUAUGUAAUUAAAAUAUCAUAGUCAACUACAUUUGUAAUUUCAACAAAUUAUUACUCUAUGAUUUAAAUGAGACCACAAAGUUAUAUAAGAUUUUAUCGAAAUUAUUAAUUUAAUCCAUUAGUCCAUGUCAAGACCUUGAAAAUUUAAUAAUUAUAUAAUAGAGAUUAUUAAUUUAUCGAGUAUUAAUUUAUAGAAGUUCUGAUUGUAUAUUAUUUUAUAUUAAUAAAGAAUAAAGUAGCAUUCUUUUUUAAUUCCGAAGUAAUAAAAUUAUGGCUAAAUUAAGAGAGUAGAUAUAUUUUAUAACUUGGUUUAAUAACAUCACGCGCCUCCCUUGUAGUUUUGCAGCUUUGAAGCUUUAUAAUGAAUCCUAUUAGCUUUGGCUGGAAAGUUAUAUUGUUAAAGAGAGUUUAUAUAUUAAACAAGGUGAUCUAAUAUUUCCAAAACUAAAUUUGGGAUCAAAAAUAGAAAACAUUUGCAUGUUUUUACCUUUUGGAAGAAUUACUUGAUAAGUGCUUCACAGAAAAAUGCUUGCUAUUAUAGAGCACCCUAAAAAAAAUCCUUAAUAAUUGAGGGAUCAUAAUAAAGUUCAAUUCUAAAUCUGUCAGAUAGAUCGAAAGUAACAAACCAUAUAUAUUUAAAUCUAUUUAGUAAUCCAGGGUUACAAGCCAAGCGUGCAAUAGCCAAUUCUGAAAAUCAAAGCUCAGCCUAUGCUCUCUGAGCACAAAUAAGAUCUGAUAUAUACAUAUCGAAUCCUCCAUUAUGUGGAGUGAAAUUUCCAUCGUGUACGGUGUACCUAACAAUGAGAAAGCAUGGCAGCAUAAAUUCAUCUUCCAUGUUAUUCUACUUAUUAGUACUGGUUCCCUCAUAACUUCUCCAAAUCGGGGAGGUCUGCAAUGUGUAAAGCACGUAAUCAGAUAAAAGAAAGAGAGCCAAAAAAAAAAAAAAAGGUAACAGCCAAAAGAUUAAAUUUCUUUGAGAAAUAGAAAAUGGGAGCUUUUGGCAUAGGCACAGAAUAGAAAGUAACAGAGUCAUUUACAGUUGUUCAGAAUAUGCAAGCUGAAAACAACUUUGAAUGCAAUGGACAAUUCCUCCAACAAACAAUCGAAUUGGAUUGUGGAAGAGACAAAAGCUUAAUGAGGUUAUGGUUUUGGCUAGGUGAACUCAAAAUUCUUUUAUAGACCAAGUAGGUAAAAACAAAUCCCAUAUAGAUGGAUGAACCUCAUACCAUGAACAGUUAAUCGCGAACACUUGCAGGCUUAUGCACACGACUAUGAAGAUACUAAGGGUUUCACCGAUGGUAAGUGAAAAAUAUAUGAUGUAUAAUUUAAAUGGAAGCACAUAGUUUCGGAUUGAAUUCAAGGUUAAAGUUCCACAGACAGACAGAAGAGAUGAAGCUUAAAAACUUACAGAGCAUUCCUUCAUCAUCACUGCUUUCAUCAUUUUGGCCAACAUGCUGAAAAAAGAAUAUGAUUCAAGUUAAAUGAUUGAGCAACAAUAAAAAACGUGCAAAAUUAAUGCUCUCUCCACAAAAAUUUCAGUCUAUAUUGGUAAGAAGAAACAGGAAGAAAAAAUUACCUCAGCAUCAUCGUCAUUGGAAGCCAAAUCAGCUGUAAAGACCACAAAAUGUUUGGUUAGAACCAGUGGAAGUCUUACUCUAAAAUUUUUAAUUUUUGAAUUUCGAAAGAUCUCGUAAUGACAAAGAUUUUCAUAUCCAGUGACCAAGUUUUGAAAAUUAGAAUACGGAAUGACAUCAACUAAAUUCACUAAUAUAAGCUAGAGGAAUCCCUAGUAGAUAUAGCGCACAUGCACACAUGAUAUGCAUCCGAAUACACAAUAAUAAAUUAUCUCAAAGUCAAUAAGAAGCCAAAAUUAGAGAUAAACUUUUAGCCACUAUAAGGAAGACUGAUAUUUGCAGUGUGAUUACAAUAAACAAACAGAAACUUCACUACCCAUAAGUAAAACAAAAUAAAUAAAGGAUAAUAACUAACCAAGAAAUGGAAAAGCUCACAUUCUCUGAACACGCACCCCAAAAAGAAAGAAAGAAAUAAAUGUUCUCAUUGGAUCUGAAGCACAAGCAAUCCACUGACAUCCUUCUAUAAUUAGGUAAUUUAAAGGGGUUAAGCUCACAUCUUUUACGGAAGUAAGAAGAGAAUUAACAACCUUCCAGAGGAUUUAGGGAAAUACCACGAGGCAAGAAAAAAGAAAUAUCCUUCUUCAAUCUAGAUAUCCUGAUACUGCUCACCAUCUACAACAGUCUGUGGCUUAAAAAGCAGGUCACUGAUCUCUCCCUCCCUCUGGCACCAUUUUCUCUCAUGUCUCAUUUUUCCCUUCCUGCCAACUCCCACUACAGUAUUGAAACCUAUUCUAUCAACUCUUCCCCCUCCAAUAACAAGACCAAAACCAAUUUUACUCGCCGGUUAGCUAGGUAGUAAAUGGAAAUUUGUGAAUCUGUCAUUCAUCCGUAGAAACAAACCAGAACUGCAUAAAUUCUCUUCUCUCCCAACAGCUUCUUUUCUCCAGAAAUAGGCACAAGUAUUUGACAUGGAAACAGUUUAUCUAACAUGGCCACCUUUAAAGACAAAGACAUACUAAGGACGUGGUUUUAGAUACGGAUACAAGAAACAAUCACAAAAUGUAAAAUCUAUACAUAUGAUAUUAAUUUCCAAUGGAUACAGCAAUUCAUUCUUUGACAUAACUUCAUCAGAUUACUAGGUUUGAUUAGGUUAUACACACAUUUAUUCAUUUAUUGAAUCUACAUGCACUUAGAAUGAGAGGUACCUAUAAAAACAAGUUACCAGAAAACAAUACAGCUAGAAAACAUUAAUCUAAGUAGUUCUAUAGGUUUAACUAACUGCAGGAAAAAACCAUUGAUUUUGUCCGCCAGAUUAUCGAGAUCCUAAUUCUGGUAAAAAGAAAAUGAGAUAAUAGAAAAUCAAAAAUUAAAUAGACACAAAAUGAGAAAUCAAGAUCAUAUGGCAACUAAUAUAUAGCAUGGGCUGCAGCUAACAAGCAAUAUAAGCCAUGAUAUUAUGCCAGAUACAAAUUUUGAGAUCCAAGAGAGAUCAAGAAGCAUGAAUACCACUAAAAUAUCGAAAGAAGUGAGUGCAGAAGGAUAAGAAAUCAGGUUGAUAUUCUUCAUACUUUGGAUCAACACGUAGUGAUGCAAUAAACUUGUAAUUAGCUUCAAAUGUAUAGGCUACCAUGUCAACAUUUCCGAAAACACACAAGAUUGUGCUGGAUUCAUACAUAGUACAUAUAUAAAAAAACAAUCUGCUUCUAAACUUCAUGAGAACAUCGAAUAAUGAACUUACAAUUUGAUCCCUCAUCAUCUUCAUCGCACCAUUUGUUCCAAUCAACCUUAAUGUAAGGUGCUGGUUUCUCUUCUGACUUGAGUAGCCUUUUCCACCAACCUUUCUCUUCUUUUUGGACCGAGCAUAUUAUGUUCCUUAAGCCAACUUUAGUCUUACAUUUCUGCACCACCAGCAACAAAACUCAAAGCAUUACAAAAGAGGUAUAUUUAGCCGCUCUUGACUCGAGUGAGAGAACAGGAUAAAUAGCCUAGGUAUAUCCACAUCCAUGUUAUGAGAUUGAUUAUGCAACAGCUAACUUUAAUAUAAAGCUUUUGCUUCAACAAAGACUAAAAUGUUUGUAAUUGUUAUGCUUUUGGAGCUAAAAUGUUUGGCAAACACCCACUUUUACUCUGCACCUAAUAUCUACCACCCACCCACACACUAAGUCUCUCGUUUGGUACAGCUAUUUAUCAGUAGUGGCUUUAAGCCACAACAUUUAAAGCGAAUUUACCCUAAAAUUUUACAAUGAAAAACCUAUACUACCUUUAACAUUGUUGUCAAAAUUAUUAUUAUAAGUAAUAUUUACCAAACACUAUCAACUUCCAAUUCAUAUCAAAGAGCUUUCACUCCACAAUAGCCGUGUCUUCUUAAGCCAGAACAACACAAUACCAAAGGCCUUAAGCUAGUGAUUUGAUUUCACAACAACUGCAGAUCAAGCCUCAAUCCCAAACAUACAUAAAUCAAAUGCAGAAAGCAAAAAUUUAACAAUAUGUUUGGUAUACUAAAUGUCUUUCAUAGUUUCAUUUCACAGGGUAUUUAGACAUGCAAUGAUAAAUUGGAGCAAUUUCAAGAACCGAAUUGACCUCAGGUAAAAUUUUGCCAAAAAGUUCCAAGCUGAAGUCGUAAAGCUCGCCUUGGACUCCGACGGCCGAGAAGCCAAAAAUCCCCUGAGGCUCGCAUUUCACAGAAAUGUCUUUCGCAUCGGGUAAUGAAAUGGUAAGGUAUACUUUAUCGGAGCGCUGAGCCCAAAGAACCUCCGGAUGGCGACUGAACAUAAAAGAAAUAAUAAUAAUAAUAAUAUUAUUAUUUUUUAUUGUGACAAUUUUGAACUAAUAAUUAGAGACAUUUAACAACAAUAUUGAUUAAUAUUGGAGAAGAAAAAUAAGGUUACAAGAGAGAAUCAGAAAGAUUACCUCAUUCUGGUGGAUGAUUGAAAACGGUGGGUCGAUUGAUGAACAGAAGUGUAACUGUCUGGGAGUGAGAGUGACUCUGCUGUUUACUGGGUAGAGUGUGCUUACUCGAAGAAAUUGAAAGUGAUAAUCUCGGGCAAGCCAACACGUCGAUUUGGUCAACAGUGGUCCAACAAACCAGGAACUAGGUUUUUUUUUUUAAAUGAUUUUUUUUUUCAGUAUUAUAUUGCCCCGCCCGUGGGCUAUUACAUUUUGGCCCUUUUGGGGACCCCUCGUUCUCUUACAAGAAGGGAAUAUUCUUUUCCAUCCACCGGUUUGUAGGCAGAGUACAUAUACUCUUCGAAAUUAAGGACAAAUUUCUGAAUCGUGCCGCAUUAGAAUUAAAUUGAGUCUCAAAAGAAUUUUGGUUAUAAGUAUAUCGUUCAAACGGUAAUAUAUUAAAAAAAAUAAUAUUUACUACAAUGUAGACCUAUCGGGACUUUGAAGCCCAGACCAAUUCUUGAGUCUAGCCUAAUAACACCUCAACAGAUCAAAAUUGAAAUCCAACUUAAAUUUCAAUAUUGUGUAGGGAUCUGCCUUAAUUUAGAUAUGUCAAGACCUGCCUUAGGCAUCAAAGUGAUCUAUCUUAACAUAACUAAGACUUUCUUUAAACAUCACAAUGAUUUAUCUUAACGUAGUCAAAUCUAGCCUAAAAAAAUCUAAAGAAGGAAAAAAGAAAUUAUUUUCACGUAUUGAGAGACUUAAAUUCUUAACCUUAUUCAUAAGAAAAAAAAGUGUAUUACUUAACUAAAUCGUGACUAAAAAUUAUAAUUAUUAUUUUUUGUACAUUUAGCUUUAAAAAAUCAUUAUAUAUAUAUAUUCAUAUAAGUUUUGACAUAAUAUACAUACCACUUAUUUGUUUUUUAAAUUAUACGAGAAUGAAAAAACUCAAGCAUUAAACACCAACUUUUGUUUCAUGCUAUCAAUCAACUUGAGAAAUUUUAUAAUAUAUCGGAAGUUCUACGUCACAAUUUAAUACGAAGCCUUCGAUUAAUAAUAAUUAGACACAUGACAAUAGAUGCUAGAGAAAUUUUAAAUUCCCUCUUUUCAUUAUCCCUCCAAAUUUAGAAUUUCAAAAAAUUAGAGAAUAAAUGUUGCUUGCUCUCUUUGUUAUCUAAUUCUAAUUAUUAUUUUUUUCUCUCUCUCUCCAAUCAAGUUGCUAGCAUUUUUUAAAUCUAUUGAAGAAUAAGAAGAAGGUUUUUGUCGAUGAAAUGAUUUUGGCAGCCUUUUUUACCCAAAGCUAACAUGAUUGCUGCGACUACCAAUGAAGAAAAAGAUGUGUUUUGCUGGCGAAGAAGAUGAUUUUUGAAGCAUGAGUGGCUGCCGUUUAUUUUUUUCCUUCAUAUUUUUCGAUGUAGUGGCUGUCCUCAAGUUUUAUUCAUUUACUUUUCAGUUGGCCUACUAUUUAUUGGCAUAAUGAAAAAUUUUAUUUUAAUAAGCAUUUAUAGAUUAAUUUGAGGAGGUUUCUUUUGCAAUAUUAGUGUGGUUUCUGCAUUGGUAUGAUUUAAAUUACGAACUUGCUACAAUCUUUAAUUAAACUGUCAAAAGUAAUUUAAAAAAUCUUUAAUUAAACCGUCAAAAGUAAUUUAAAAACUGACAGUAGAUAGAUUAGAGAUAGGCUUGACAAUUUAGCCCGACUCUAUUUUUAGUCUGAUUGAUCCGAUCCUAAUUUUUAAGACUUUGGCCUGAAUUUUUUGAUUUCGGGUCGGGUUCGGGUCAAAAUUUUAAGGCCCGAACAAAUUUAGGGUCAGGGUCGGACUUAAAACCAACCCGACCCGACCCUAUUUAAAAAAAAAAAAACUAACACACGCACACAACACAUGACAGUUCACUCUCUCUAAAUCGUAAAUCACACACACAAAAUACACUUACACAAAUUCACAAAAACCCUAAGCCAGCCACCCAGCCUGCUGCCGUCCUAUCAGCCAACAUCGUGACCGUCCGCCGCACGCCAGCCAAUCAGCCGUCGUCUCGUCGUCGCAUGUCUCACCAAUCAGCCAUCGUGACCGUCUGCGACGCUGCGACAUGAACUUGAACCAGCCGCCCUUUGUCGCCGUCCUGCCGCAUCCGCCUGCCAGCCAACGAUCAAUGCACACAGUUGAAUUGUGGGGUGGGAAAUGGUUUCGAUAGGGUCGGGCUCGACCCGACCCUAACUAUAAAGAGGUAGGGCUUUUUUAGGGUCGGGUUUUAAUUUUUUGUUGAUCGGGUCGGGUCGGGUUUGGCCAAACCCGAGCCCGACCCGACGUUUUGCCAUCCCUAAUUAGAGAUGAAGAUUGGAGAGAGAGAAAAAUAUAAUUUGAAUGAGAUAAUAAAGAGAGAAGAAAUUCUAUAAUACAUCAUAAGUAAUAUAACUCAUUGAUGUAUGCAUGAUAUAUGUAAUUAACCUUAAUAUAACUAACACUUGUAUGGUGAUAUUUCAAAAUAAAUAUACAUAUGUUAUAAAAUCAUUUACUUAUUGUAUGACUGACAUUUUAUUUUUGAUGUAUUGUACAAUUUCUCAGAAGAGAGUAGUAUUUAUUAUCUCUAAUUUUUUGAAAUUCUAAAUUUUGGAAGGAUAAUAGAAAGAGAAAUUUUAAAAAUUUUUCAACGUAUAAUGCCAUGUAUCUAAUUAUUAUUAGUCGGUGUUCCACGUUAAAACGUAAUAUAGAACCUCUGGACCUUACUGUAUAAUGUACUGUAGAAUUUCCUGAUCACACACUUUCUCAGUUGCAAAAGAGGUGGGCAUAUGAGUUCCUUACGGGGAUUUAGUGUGAAUCCACGCAAAGCCCAUAUAGAUUUUUCCGGUUAACCGCUAUGGCAUCCUAGUUUUAAACUCAGUACUAAAUUUACAGAUCCAUUUAAACCCCCCAAAUCAGUCUCUCACCGUCUCAAGUCUCAAACAAAAAACCUGACCGGAACCCAAACCGCCAAAUCCGAUUCGAUGGUGGACUGUGCUAAAACCCCUAAAAUUCCAAGACUGACAUGCGGUAAAGGAGAUGGUGAUAGACUUAGCAAUCUUCCGGAGCACAUCAUUUAUCACAUAUUCUCGUUCAUGGAAACAGUUGAUGUUGUUAGAGCAAGCACUGUUUCGCGAAGAUGGAGGUACUUGUGGCUUUCCGUUCCUUAUUUGAACUUCGACUAUCACACAAUUUGGUCAGACCCGGAAAGUAGAUGGUCUCGUAGGAAAAUCAAUGAUAAGUUCAAAGAUUUUGUCAACUGGGUAAUAUUUUCUCAAAAUGGGUCUGUUAAUAUUCAAAGAUUUCGUCUUUGCUGCUGGGAUUAUUUAGCAAGUUACGAUAACGAUAGAACGAUUUACAGAUGGGUUUCUGCUAUGGCACGUCGAAACGUGCAAGUGCUUGAUCUGGCUAUAGCUUCACUAUACCCAUUUGAGUUUGACUUGCCACAUAGUCUUGUAACUUGUGAUUCAUUGGUGGAACUGAAGUUGAGUUUGAGCUUUCAUGUUCACCGAUGUUUUUUAAAGCUGCCUACUGCUGCUGGUUUUAUUGGGCUCAAGUCUCUUGAUUUACAAAGUGUUGCGUUGGAUGAUAAUUUGUUUCCUGAAUUUAUUUCAAAUCUUCCCCUGCUUGAGAAUUUGUGUAUGUUGUCAUGUGUUUUUCCUGAAUUGAAGGUUCUUGACAUUUCUUCCACUAAUUUGAAGAAUUUGGCUCUGGAAUCCAUUGUUGGCAAUGAUAAUGCUGGCAAUGAUGAUGCUGGCAAUGAUGAUGCUGGCAACUACAAGCUUAAGAUUGCUUGUCCAAAUCUUGUGUCUUUUAAUUAUAUAGCUUUAGCUCCAUGGUUACCUCACUUUGCUUUUGAGAGCUUAAACUCCUUGCAAAAUGCAUUCAUUGACCUGGAUGAUUAUAACGAGGAUGACAUGGAGAACGAAAGAUGUCAUGUUUUAUCUACAAUCUUCAAUGACUUUCGUGAAGUUAAAGUUUUGAAAUUAUCAGAAGCCAUUCUUCUCGAGGUAUGAUUUCAAAUACAUUCAUUGCACCAAAUCAUGAUUCUGCCAGAACUUGUCUACACUUUUUUAUUUUGACAUUAGAAAUGAAGCUUAAGUAAACUGAAUCUACUUUCUUUGUUUGGUAAAAUAAGAAUUCUAUUGAUUAUGGAACCUUCCUAAAUGCUAAUUUGUUCUUUAGACUGUGUAUAAGUCAUUGUGACAUUGUAUGAAGUCUCAUUUAUCUGAGUAAUCAAUUGUUAUUGAUGUCAAAGACUAGAACUCAUUGGUGACUUGAGUUUAUGUAUAUUAUCGUUUGUUAGAUUUUUUGUGUGAUUAUUGCACUUAACUUGACUAAUGUAUUCUCUUUCUUUUUGCCAUUGUUCCUCCAGGUUCUUGAUCCUGAUCCUGCUCACGAAGAACCAGCAUUUUUUUCCACUUCAUUCAAUAAUUUGAAGUCCUUAAUACUUUCUGCAGGUCCGGGUGUAUGUCUCAUGCCAUCAAUGCUUAGGUUGCUCAACUGCUCUCCAAAUCUAGAAGCUCUUGCAAUAUAUUCUCCUAAGGUAAUCUUAACACCAAAAACUAUUCCAUUUGUUAGAUACCGUCGCUUCUAUCCAUUUUUUUUAAAAAUCAUAUCUCCCAUUUAUGUGCUAAAAUUUUAAUUUUGUUAAAGUGCAACUGGGCUUUGCUUAAAUUAUCGCAAUAGAGUUGAAACCUGAAAGUAUUUGUGAUAUAUUAUGUUUACCGCUUAGAGCUUAAAGUAAAUGUUAAUCUUGUGGCCUCUUGGUUGUUCCCAUGCUAUUGCUUGUUGAGCAGAUGGUUGAAUUUAGAGUCAAUCAAUCGGUUGUGUUCUUCUGAGGUUUGUGCAAGUUUUGUAAAAGAGCAAAGUUUAGUAUUUGUUUAGUUUGUGAAAAUGAUAUAGCUUUUUCUAAUUCAUCUUACUCUAUUCUUUGCUUAAAAAUGAAUUCUCCUUUUGAUUUGAUUCCUUGACUGCAUUUCGGUCUGUUUUCUCUUGGCAGCAUCGGCGUGGAUAUAAUGCUUAUAGGAAAACACCGAACAAGGCUGCUAUUUCAUGUUUGACAAAUCAUCUCAAGACAGUUGAAAUAAAACAUUUUAGCGGUGAUAUGAAUCAACUUGAAAUUGUGAGGUUUCUUCUAAGGAAUGGACAUGUAUUGCAGAGAAUGAGUAUUAGAUGGGUGGCAGAUGUUAAGAAUCAAGGGAAGAUUAUCUCAAGGAUAAUGAAGUUUCGGAGAUCAUCUUCAAGUGUUGUGCUGAAAUUCCUAGAUCCUAAGCCAGCUGAUGAUUUUUCAGAUUAUUUAUUUGAUGAUGAGCAAAAGAACUAAAAUUAUGUUUAAAUUAAAAAAAAAAAAAGUGGUUUAAGUGUAUGUUCGAAUUAAAUAGUCUUUUGGAUUUGUAGAAACUGAAAGGAGUACAGUGCCAGUCACUGUGGCAGCCUUAUGUUUUGUUUGAAAAAAUUCGGAAGCUUCUAAAUUGUUAUAUACCUCAAUUCUGAAGUCGUUAGUAUGUAUAUUAUAAGCAAUACAUAUGUUCCAUUUGUCAUAUUUUAUUUUGGCAUUACGAUUGUUUUGUCUUGAUUAAUAUUGAUUAUAAUUUGUUUAACAUUUAUCUGGCAUAUGUAGAAUUAUACUUUAUCUGAGUAGAUGACGCUGCUGCGUACAUCUUCAGGACUCGGUCAUAAACUGUUUAUCUCUGCGUCUGUCUAGCAUCCAUCCACGUAUGACCUGUCGGCUUUUUGCCCGCAAGCAUACAGUUAGGGGUGGUAAAAAUAUCUGUCCGGUCUGGAUUCGGUUCGCACCCGGAUGUUUUAUCCGGCCCGGUCUUGGGCAUCAUUUGAUAAAUUCGGAACCCGAGUUUUAUUAAGCGCCUUGGCCGUACAGCAGUAUAUUAUUUUAAAUAUUUAUAUUUAUUUGACUCAUUUAUUACAUAUAUAUAAAGUUUUAGACACUUAAAGUUUAUAUUUUCAUGUCAAAUUUCAUUAAAAUAAAUUUAAAACUUAUAAAAUUACCAAAAAAUAAAAAAUAUAUACAUAUAUAAUAUUAAAAAAUAUAAAAUCUGGGUACCCAAAUUAAAACCCGGCACAAUCCGACCCAGGCAUCUAUGCAUCCGGGUCGGGUCCGGUCAUUACGAUACCCCGACCCAGCCCAGGGUUUUGCCAUCCCUACAUGCAGUGUAUAUGAAUUGCAGUUCUUGUACGGACAACAUGUCAUCCAUAAAACUCGAGUUAUGUUCUUUUUAAUCUUUAGUUUAGAUUACAUUUUGCAAAACUAAUAAACGAUAGAGCUCCUAGCAAGGUCAAUAGUUAACUGCGAAUCCAGAAGAUCGGAAUGCUAUACCUUUCAAACAUGCAUUUCAAAGCCAUCUGCGGAAAUGGAAAACAAGCAUUUCAAACUCGUUGUUAAAACAAUGAUAAAAGUAAUUUUAAUCCUAAUUUUUAAUUCCAGGCAUGAAGCUAACUCAUAUACAAAGAGAUAUCAAGUAAGCAGAGGCGAAAGCUAAAAGCUUUGGUUACAGGGGUCGGUGUGAAUAAUGUAUAUAUCGUUUAGACAUAUUUUUGAAUAUCUAUUUUAAUUUAGGGGAUAUUAUAUAUAUUUAAAAAAAAUUAAAAUUUUUACGGGAGCCAUGGCUUACUAUAGUCUCCAUUAAGAUUCACCCUCCCUACUUUUCGUACUUCAUUAAAGUAUAGGAUAAAUAUUUACAAUAUUAUAAAUAGAUUUUAUAAAAGCAGUCCAUAUAUGAAAGUCCUUCUGCACUCUGAAUUAAAUAAAAAUAACGUGAGACUAACAAUUUAAGAGUCUUUUUUGCAACGUAUAUCGUGCAGUGAUGUACUCUAUCGACGGAGGACUCUCUUCAUAUGCUUUUUAUUUUUCCAUGCCUGAUUAUAAAUAGGAUCACUCUAUGUUACAUUAAACGUAACGUACACACACUCACAACAACAGUAACAAGUCCCAUCAUUAGAACUGUUGCUGUGAGUGCGUGUAUGUUACGUUUAACGUAACAUAUCACUAGCCUUAUAAAUAACAUCACUUUUAAGGAUUUUUACAAAUUUUUAUUACAACCGUAACUUUUGUCCUCAUACAAUAACGGUGUCCAUUGUCCACAUAUAAAAAGUUCAUCAAUAAACAUAUAACCUAAUUAAAAUUCGUGACAAAAUCCAAAGGAAAGAAAGCGUGGAGUAAUAUAUAUAACAAAGGCAUUGAGCAUACACCAGGUGUAAUUUGCAUUGCAUGGCCACCCUUACGUGGCAGUUCCGCCGAUUAACACAUCUUUAAAAGUUAAAGCCCCCCUCUCUCCUUGUUAAGGGCGUUUCAACACAACACUCAUCAAUGCAAGCAAAGAGACAGUGAAGGAAAAAUUAAGAAACCAAUAUUGUCACUUGGAAGAAAGAAACAAUCAUUACAUAUAUAAUACGAUGGAUACUAAGAACAACAGGAAGCAUUUGUCCUGCAUUGCCAACGACGUCGUUCACAGAUGUGCACUGUACGUAUCUCUCUCUCUCUCUCUCUCUCCUUUUCUUUUUCUCCCCGAUCACUUUGUUUUCUUUAUAUAUACGAAUGUAUGUAGAACGUAGUAGGUUUUGUAUAAAUAUCUGUUGCACACAUUAUUUGAUGUGCAUUUAAAUAUAAUUAAUGGUAAUUGAGAUGACACACAAAGACAAUGCAAAAAAAGAAAAAAAAAGAGAGAGUAAAUUAAUGAAUUUGCCUUGAUCCAGUUAAUUUGUGUGCAUUUAGCUGACUGUAAGGUGGUUUCGAGUGUGUUUUUGUUUGGCAACUUUUCACACAAAAGCACUUUUGGGAAGCACUUUAUGUAAUGUAAGUGCCUCUAAAAACUGUUUUAUGUAUUACUGCCAAAUGCAGUGCAGAGGUUACAAUGGGAGGGUCGGUUUUAUACCUGUUCUUCGAGACUUAAUUUCAAUAGGAGAUUGAAAUAUUUAUGAGAAUUAUGUUGUUAGCAGACUUAAUUCUUUUGGAGGAAUUCAUUCCAUCGUAGACCACUCAAUGAAUUUGGUCGAUUGAGAUUAUUUGAGUGCAUGCUUCAAAACUGGAGCAUUAAUUCUUUGACAUAAAUGGGCUUUAACAUAAGGCGCGUUCGCUUAUUCCAUUUAUUCAAGAAGUUGGCACUCAAUUUUUUAUUACUAGCCUUUAGAUGGCCAGCAGCCUUUUGUAGCCCUUUCUAGUUUCUACUAAAGUGGUUAUGUGCAAUAGUUCUAUUCUGGGUUGCAAAAUUAUUGUGUCAGUAGAAUCCACAUACAUUAUGUACUUUUCUGUAUUUAAUUUCAAGAGGCUUAGUUAUAUCAUAGUUUUAGGAUUAUAAUAAGUCUGUCCGUUACCAUGUUAUUGGAAUUUUUUUUUUUUUCUAAAUUAGUUGGACACAUUAUUGGAUUGGUCAAUAAAGGAAAGCAUUUGGCAAGUACUUGGUUUGAUAUUAACAUAUAGUUGCAGUAAAGCACAUUAACUUGUGCAUCCUGAAAUUCUUGCAGGCAAGUAAAGGCUUCUGAGGAUUCAUUGGUGGAGGGGUUUGAAGCUGAAUGGAAGCCUGAAAUCGGACAGUAUUCGAAGAAAUUUGUGGAAUAUUGCAGCAUAAAGGCUCUUACUAACAUGUGCCAGAGCAUAGAAGAAAAGAUUAGUGAUGGAUCAUUUAGUCGACUCACAUUUGAUAUGAUGCUUGCCUGGGAAAUGCCUAGUGCCGCCGAUGAGGAGUCUCAUACUGUAAGCAAUCAUCAUAAUACUCAUAUCCUAUAUUUAUUUCAUGGUCCACCAAAUCAUUAUGAUAUUAUCCCAAUUUUGGUGUGCCUAUCUUCUCUUCAAGUUGCUUCUUCUAUUUCUUUUUCAUUAUACAUUCUCUGGUUCUCAUCAGUUUUCGCUCCAAUUAAAAGAAGCAUGAAUUCUUUCACUUAUCUGCUGAAUCUGUUCUAAUGAUUGGGCAAUAGAUUUUUAUUCCUCUCUGUGGUUACUACUAUUUUGAUCUUGUGCAGGAGUGCAUGGGAAAGGAGAAUGAGGAUAGAAAGGCUGUAAAAGUCACUUCAGAUCAUGAUGAAAUUCCUCUCUUCUAUACAGACAUCAUGCCUCUUCUAGUAAGAGCGUCUCUUUCUGAUCAUUUGAGUGCUAAUGUACCGACCAAGCAUUAGCCUUCACUGAAACUCGUAUAUGAUUUCAUGAACAUUGAUUAAUUGUUAUUUUUGCUAACUACUCUAUGAGAUCUGAUCAAAUUAGAUAUAUAAAUGUUGCGAUUGAUCUUGGAUUUGCUUUAUAUUUGGCCAUCAAUUAUAUUUUACUCUUCAUUUUUAUAUUUGUUUGGUUUGAUAAUUUACCCUCUGGCCCAUAUAUAUGAUGGUAGGUUAAUAAUGAACCGAGUGUUGGAGAAGAUGCAUUUGUAUGGAUGGGAUCCUUAGUUCCUCUAGUUUCAGAUGUUAUUAAUGGGAGAUUUACAUAUGAAAUUCUGACAGCGCCAACAGGAAACCGGCUCCAUUCUCCAGCAUAUGAUAUAUUUCUAAAGGAGAUGGACAAGUAAUUCUUCCAAUUCUUCCAUGCAGCAAUUUUACCACUCAGAAACUUUAAGUGCCGUUUGGUUUUGUGACAUGCAAAUUAUCAUGGAACACUCAAAAUGAGUUGUUCUUAACAAUUUCUAGAAUUUGCAAACUCACUAACCAUAUCUGAAAAUGCAGAAGCAUUAUUACCACUUAUUGAUAACAAUAUCUCUGCUCGACUUGUUUGGGUGCUUUCAGCCGUUUUUCAUUUUCUUUUGGAAAUCUUGAUUUCAUAGAUGCAUAAAACAUUUGCAAAAACAAGCAACUCCAAAGGGUGUUGAGCUGGCUGACGAUGAAUUUAUACUGCAUGUGGAGGGAACUGCAAGCACACAGAGAGUAGUGCGCCAUAUUGGGAAAACAAGUUGGCCUGGUAUGUCUUUAGUUUGAUGUCUUACAUCUUUUUAACUGCUGUAGAAAUUGUUACUUGGAUUUUACUAAUCAUAAUUGUUGUCUCUAGGUAGGCUCACACUGACAAAUUAUGCGCUCUACUUCGAGGCUUCGGGAGUAAUAACAUAUGAAGAUGCUCUAAAGAUUGACCUCUCAAAAGAUGCUGAACUAUCUGUUAAACCAACUGCCACAGGUCCAUGGGGUGCUCCGCUUUUUGACAAGGCAAUUGUAGUCGAGUCCCCUGAACAGUAAGCAUAGUUGCACUUAUAUGAAAUUACUGGAGCUAUUAGCAUCGUUAUUCUUAUUUUAAAAAUUGUUAAAUGCUUGGUAGUUAUCCCAUAAGCUAGAUUUUAAAUGCAUAACAUACAAGGCAGACAUCAGAAAGCAUUCUGAUUCGUUUAUUAAAGUUUGUCUUUUAUUAAGCUAAAGAUAUUAAUGCUGCUAGAUUUUUCUAAUUUGGUUGUAGAUAUUGGUUAGUUACACUGUCAAAUGAGCAAAUCUCGUGGAUAUUUCAUAGUGUGGUUAUGCAAUUGUUUUUUGCCCUUCACUUUUCUAGAUCUGAGGGAAUUGUCCUGGAGUUUCCAGAGAUAACUAGCUCGACAAGGCGUGAUCAUUGGCUGGCCCUCACAAAGGAGAUAAUGUUAAUGCACAAAUUCCUGUCAAAAUUCAAGGUGGAAUGUCCAAUACAAGCAUGGGAGAUGAAUGCAAGGACAAUACUUUGCAUCAUAAGACUCCAUGCAGCAAGAGAAAUGCUGAGGAUAUUGCCUCCAGAUCCCACAAAAUUCUUGAUUUUUGCUUUGUAUGAUGAGUUGCCAAAGGGAGACUACGUGCUAGAAGAGCUUGCUGAGAGUCUGAAGAAAGUUAAUUGUGGACAUCCUUCCAGUGCUAGCUCAAUUCUGAGAUGUAUGAACCUGUCAAUUGCCGCAAGUGGAGAAGUAAAAGAAGGAAAAGAACUGGAGGAACAUAAACAUAUAAGUGAUGAAAGCUGUUCAUCACUGGAAACUGCCAUCAAUCAAUCUAAAGAGCAAGCAAAGGCAAUUGAAAUUGCUAAGUCUACCACUGAGGGCCUGAAAGAUGAAGGGAUCAGUGAUAGUAUCCUUGUUCUCUUGGUAUGUUUUUACUUCCAAAUUGUUGUUUAUGCUGCUGAUUUUAUAUUGACAGAAUAAGUAAUGACAUCUCAACAAAUCAUGGUAUUGAGAGCUUGUUUGACAUUUAUCAAACACAGCAAAGAAAUUGAAUUUUAUGAAAUUCCUAUAGCACCCUAUAAUUUGUACCAAAAAAUCUCUGCACCUUUGGCAUGCUGUAUGGUAUGGAAGUAUAGCUGUCUCAGAGAGGUUACUGUUAUUUACUUUAUUUGGUUUUGUAGUAUUGAUGUUAAGUUUGAUUUAAUAAUGUAGGAGCUACUAAAGCCACUUAAAAGUGUUUUACCCUGGAUUCGAGAAGUUGUUUCAUGGGAAAAACCAGCAACCACCCUCACUGUGAUUGCAACAACUCUACUAAUAGUGUACAAGUAAGUCAGUGCUCCCUCGUAAUUUUCUUAUAUACGGAAAUUUUUUUGAAAGUGCAUGUUGAUCAAGAACCACUUCAUUACUUGGCCUAUUAAUGUGUAAACUUUGCAAAUGACUAGUAAACUAUAUAAUGGCAAUGUAGGGAGUGGGUAGGCCAGGCUAUAGCUGCUUGUUUGCUCACCAUCGUGGUGAAGAUGCUUCAGGCAAGAAAAAAAAGGUUGACAGACAAAUGCAAUGAGAUAGUAGUAUGCACUGCUUCAGAUCAGAGCACCGUGGAGAGCAUUGUGUCGGCUCAAUACAGUUUGAUAACUAUUCAUGAGAUGUUGCAGGCAGCAAACAUUAUGAUUUUGAAGAUAUGGUCGAUAUUAAUUUCAAAGGCCCGCAAGGUACUCAUUUUGAUAACCUAUGCUUUCAGCUUAGCAAUUAAAUAUCGUUUUCAAUCAAUAUUGCUUAUUCGUCGUUAGCUGAAGUUCGUUUACCUACUACAUUUGUUGGAUGUCUUCAAUUAUUGAGGAGUCUUAGUUGCAUUUCCAAAUUGUUCUAAAUCCUCGUUUCAUUUAAUGGGUUGCAGCAUGCGGACACGGUUAUGGUGGCAUUGACUGGGUUAGCAAUAGUAUUAGCAGUUGUUCCAUUCAAGUAUAUUGUCAUGGGAGGUGUGCUGUACGGCUUCAUUAUGAACUCGAAGCCAAUGAAGUACCUGGGAAACAACUCAAACGACCAAAGCGGCAACAGACGUCUAAAAGAAUGGUGGGAGUCAAUCCCUAUUAUUCCUGUUCGCGUCGUGGACAAGCUUCCUGAGUGCCCAAAAUAAUGUGUCGGCUCCUGCACAAUCACAGUUGCCUAAAUCCUCUGUUUCUGAACUUUUGUUAUCAACUUACUGCACGAUAUACACUUCUGAGUUUGCUUUUGCCAUCAGAGUAGAACUGUAUCUGAAACACAGCAUACACUUAAAUGCUCAUUACAAAUUUGGAGAAAAGCACAAGUAGAAAAGGAUUGAAGACAUUCAGUAACGUUGAAAUUCUGCAUUUUCUUUAAUUUUUGUUAUGAACAAGUUUCUUAAUUAUUUGUUCUCUUGAUGUAAAAUAGCAUAUUGCUGGGAGUAAUGAAGAUGUGACUGUGCUUUUCCUAUUAGCAUGUUAAUAAAAGCAAAAUGGAAAAUUAUUAGUUACGUCCUCUCGUUUUGCGGCUUAUUGAGCUAACAAGUAACUUCUUCAUUACUAGCGUGCAAGUUUGCAACUAGUGAAUCUCAAAUAUAACUCUACCCAAUGGAUGGAUGUACGAUGGAUGUACCUACCCAAUCAUUUAUUUCUCAUUAAAUCUGUUAAAACAGAAAAAGUCCCGACGUCAUAUUCUUCGCGCCUUUUAAAAAACGACACGUGUCGUAUCCCACUACUCGCGUGCUGGAAACUUUAACCCACUCUGACUGCGUGACAGCAGAUCAUUCCCAAUUCAUUUCAGUUUCACUGUCACUUUCACUCCUCCUCAGGCGCCUUCCGACAAACAGGAAGAAUGCAAACUUGAAAACCCCCAAAAACCCUAACGUUCCCCCGGAGACCCUAACCCACCAUAAACCCUGGCUCUUAAUCCUAGCCACUAUGAGCGACCAAGACGAGCAAUCGCGAGCUCAGAAAGCCGCCCAGUUAACAAGUCCGCUCUCAUCCUCUCUCUCGAACCUUUCUUCUUCUUCAAGAAGCAUCCCCUCUAAUCAAGAUUUCCAUUUCUUCUACAAUUUCCCUGAAUUCAAUCAACCCGUCCAAGAAAUCGCGAACCAAUCGCAGCUCCUCCUACAAUCCAUCGGCUCAUCGGAGAUUUUUAACCAACCGAUCAAUUUUCCUGAUGAGGUUGACAUCUCGGACGCCUACGACUGGCUUGUCGACGUAAACGACAACGUUUUCGAGCGUAUGGAUGUUUCUUUCGACGAAUUUAGUAAAGUAAGAGGGGAAAAUGGGGAAGGAGAUGGAAAUGAAGGUGGCUUUCAGUUGGUUUAUGGGAAGAACAAGAAGAAGGGCGACAUUGUGGGUGGCUCUGCCCCGGCCAGUGUGAAAGUGAAGGACAGGAAAGAGAAAAGCAAGGUGCCGUUUCAUAUAUCGACUAUAACAAAACCGCAAGAGGAGUACAAGAUAGUUGUGAACAAUGCGAACCAGCCGUUUCAGCAUGUUUGGUUGCAGAAGAUUGAGGACAGUGGACGGUUUAUCCAUCCUCUUGUAAGUUUGUUAUUUUUUGAAUAUUUUGAUAUUGGAUUUGACUUACUGGGUUUGUUAAAUUUGUAAUCUGAAAAUAGUACCUUUCUUAGGGACUUUUUAGUGAUCAAUUAUUUCUUUCAUUUUCUUUUUGGGUGGUUUGUGGUAUAUGUUUACGCUUAUCUUGUUUGGAAUUUGUGUGCAAUUCUUAUUAUUCAUGCGAGAAUUUUAACACUAUCAUGUGGUUCAUGCUUGCCAAAAAUAUACCAAAACACUUUUGCUUAUUGCUAUUGCUUUAUUUGUACAGGACAAUCUUUCUGUUUUGGAUUUUGUUGAUAAAGAUAUAGGGGAUGUGGAACCUGUAAAACCUCCCUCGUUGGAGCAGACACCAUUCAAGCUUGUGGAAGAAGUUAAAGAUUUAAAGGAGCUAGCUGCUAAAUUGAAGAGCGUAGAUGAGUUUGCGGUAAAGUCUGACUUCUGUGAUUAUGUUUUAUUGAUAAAUAAUGCCGUGGUUCAGCCUUACUGCAGUAGUUUCUUUUUUUCAGCCUUUUGAUUUCUCUUUUCUGAUGGGGCAUUUCAUAUACAGAACUGAACACUGUCCUAUGUAGAGGAUAUAGUGUAGUUAAGGCACAUGUCACCGAUGUCAGCUACUUCAAAAUUAUAUAGUGCUGGAUGUGGUUUAAGCCAAUAAGACAAGAAAGGGGUGUGGCCGCCUAUGAAGAUACAUACAAAUAUGUUAAUAUUCGAAACAUAUACAAAGAAAUGUGCCUGUAAUAGUUUUCCUGUCUACGUAAAGUAGUAAACCAGCUGUCUAUUUAAUCUUGAUACAAGUUUUGCAUGUUUAAAAAAUUAUCUUUCAUCUUUAACAGUGAGUCCAUUUUUAGCUGUAAUCCUUUUCUCAAGCAUGACUUGGUUUUGCUUUCGUUUUCAUCUCAACAGUAAACCUGUUUGCAACUAGAAAACAUUGUAAUUUUUUUGUAACUUUUCUCUAGGUCGACUUGGAACAUAAUCAAUAUCGAUCUUUCCUAGGAUUGACUUGCCUGAUGCAAAUUUCCACCAGAACCGAAGAUUUUGUGGUAGAUACGUUAAAGCUUCGCGUUCAAGUUGGGCCAUAUCUUAGGGAAGUUUUUAAAGAUCCUACCAAGAAAAAGGUUGGUCCCUUCAACAUGCUCUCGCGUAGCUUUGUGAUAAAUCUUAUUUUUUCCCCCCCAAAUUAUGUUAACUUUUACUUUACUAGGUGAUGCAUGGAGCAGAUCGAGAUAUUGUGUGGCUUCAACGGGACUUUGGCAUAUAUUUGUGCAAUAUGUUUGACACAGGACAGGUUUUAUCCCUUGAAACUCUCUUUGAAAUUUGAGACUUUAUUGAUGAUCUUGUCUGGUUUUUUGUACAAUGGUUAAAUUUAUCUUAUCUUAUCUGCUUUUUUGUGGUCUAAUUUAUGAGUGUUGAUGCAAGCCUUUAUUCUACUAAAUUAGUUAAAUUGAGUUAUCUUUUGAUACUGUAUUUUCAAUUUUGUAAUUCAUCUUAUGUGUUUGAGUCAAGGUUUGGCUUCAAAAAGCCUUGUCAGUUACAUGUCAUCUCUCCCUUAAUUUUUUCAAAGUAGCUUCGCUUGUCAUUUGAACUAUUUGUAUCAUUAUUUUCAAUUUUGAUGUGGAACUUCCCCCAUUUAUUAAUGUUCUUUUGGUUGUUUUUGUGUAAUGCUCUUUUGUAAAUUUUACCGUGGCAUUUAUUUUGUUUUGCAUUUCAAAUAAUAGUGAGAAUUGCUUUUUUCAGUCCUAAGUUUAUUGGUUUAUUGUAAAUAUACUGUAUAUUUAUUUUGGUUUGCAUUGGGAGAUGAUCGUGGGAAUUUGUUUCUGUCUUUUCAUAAGGCCUCAAGAGUCUUGAAAUUGGAGAGAAAUAGUUUGGAGUAUCUUCUACAUCACUUUUGUGGAGUUAAUGCCAACAAAGAGUGAGUCCUUUUGUAAAGUACCUGAUCUGUUUCUCCUUAUAGUUUCCGCCCUUCAUCAUCCUAAGUCAACUCAUUGCAGAUACCAGAACGCAGAUUGGAGAGUACGUCCUCUUCCCGACGAGAUGCUGAGGUACCUUUGGUUCUCUUUUUAUCUUCUUUGUAACCUACUUUUCUAAUGAGUUCUCCAAAAAAAAAAAAAUUAUGAUCUGUUUGGCAUGAAAAUAAUUACUACUAUUUUAAAGUUCUUGUAUUCUUUGGAAAAGCAGAAAUCAUAUAUCAUCAUUUAAGUGUUUGGGGUUUCAUCUUUGCCUGUAUUUUUGUAGAAACUAAUAAUAUUUUUUUUUCUGUGGCUUAGGAUUUGAAUUGUGGGAAUAUCUAUGUUGGAAAUUAAUAAUGAGUGCACAUUGACUCUUGAUAGUGGACAAAUAUUUGGACAGCCAGGAAGGGGAAGGCCAACAAAAGUUUUGGGUUUUUAUAAGUUGAAGUUAUGAAUGGUUUUAUAAUUAAUUAGGUAUAGGUUUCCUCAUUUGGGUAUUUCUGGGAGAUCUGGGUUAUAAGAUUGAGAUAUUCCAGCCUGUAUAGAUAAUUGUAGGGUUGCCUGUGUUUGUGAUAUUCCAGCGCGUUUAUUAUUACUACUUCUUAUAUAUAUAAAAUUUUAGACUCUUUCCAUGUCUAACAAGAAGUUUUCAUGAUAUCACUUGGAUCCUACUCAUGCAGACUUGUAAGGCAUCCUUAGGUGCGGUUAUGUGAUCUGGUUUUUAUAAAUAUUUUUAAAUUUUUUGUCAGAGACAAUGCCUGUAGUGACAAUGUACUGACUUAUCUUUUGGUUAUUACCAAGCUGAAUCAGGUUGCCUGUGGUUUAUGACCAUACCAUUUGGUCUUAUAAAAUGUUCUUCCCUUCACCUCAUGUUCUCAUACUUUAAAGCAUGAAUAAUAUCUAAGGGCCUGAGAUUAUUUCAUUAAUUUUUCCCAAGUCUAGAUCCUUCCCAGAGAAAUGGAUGGAUUACCCACACACUCACCAGUAACAUGUCGUACUUUAUGACGGUUUUGCAUUACUGCUGUAUGUCAUUUAAUUUGCCCUUUUGAGGAUUCUUUAUUUUCUCUGGGCUGAUGUUACUUUGUGGUGCUUUUUUUUCCUAUUUAGUCAAAAUAUAUAUUCAUCAUAGAGUUUCUCUGUUAGAAUUUUCUUAGCUUUGAGGAUUCGUUAGUGGCAUAUCAUCCAAUUGAUUAUACUUGUGAUGACAGAUACGCUAGAGAAGAUACACACUAUCUGUUGUAUAUAUAUGAUAUAAUGAAAAUCAAGUUGUCCUCAAUGCCCAAGGAGUCUGAGAAUUCUGAUACUCCCCUGACAGAGGUAUGAUUUUUGCUUAACUGUUGGUGUUGUUUUGUAAAACUGUUGGGCAUCUCUAUGAUUAUAGAGAAUCCAUUUUUAAAUGCUUUUUUCAGAUCUUGUUGUGCCAUGUAUGACAGACCAUUGCGUCUGGAGAUUGGCAUGGAGCUUAAUAAUUACAAUGUUAAAAAUAGAACAUAAAAUAUUGGGAAGUAUCUAUCAUGACUAAUUCUUCAACUGUUUAAGGAAGAUAGUUUAAAUCCGAAUAUCCUUUUUUGGAUUGUGGACUAAAGAAAAUUGUCAACUCUUGAUUUCUCUUCCCAAGGAUGAAGACGUAUCAGUCUGUUGGCAAACACAUUUUUUGAAUUUUACUUUAGUUAUCUAUAAUUUUACCAUAUUGAGCAAACAUUUUGUUGCAAACAGGUCUACAAGCGCAGUUAUGACGUAUGCAGGCAGCUGUAUGAGAAGGAGCUUCUGUCAGAAAAUUCUUAUCUCCACAUUUAUGGGUUUGUCUUUGUCCCUAUUCAUCUCAGUUUAAGUUUUCAUUUAGUGGCCUCGCCUGUUUAAAAUCUUCUCUCAUACAGUUUUUGUUUGUUUCAUUCUUUACUUAGCAUUACUUCUCUUGUUUAAUUUUAGUUCUAUUUUGGACUUCGUAUUUAUGUGAUUUGACAGAACUUAAUCAGUGGAGCUUAUUUCUCUAUGUUGAAAUAGGUUGCAGGGGGCUGGUCUCAAUGCUCAGCAGCUUGCUGUUGUUGCGGUAUGUCAGUUCUUCAUGUGUUUUUCAAACUUUGCCACUUUUCUAUCUGGAUAUUAUAUGCAUGAGGAUGCUACUGAAAAUGUAUUAUCCGCAUGUUUUGUUUACUAGUUGCAUCUUCAAAUGAAACAAAGUCUUGACCCAGAAGAAUCCGUAACGCACCAAUAGUCACUAAUAGGAUUGUCUUGAGAAAUUUACUUCUAAAUUUUUGAGUGGAUGAUAGAAGGGUGGAUUUUAAGUAGCUGACACAUCAUUGCCAACUGCUGAUAGAGUCUGUUGCAUACUUGAGUAUUCUUGCUAGUUCUGGCCCCAUUGAUCCCACUUCAAUGAUUUGCAGGGUCUUUGUGAAUGGCGAGAUGUUAUUGCUCGUGCAGAUGAUGAAAGUACUGGCUAUGUAUUGCCAAACAGAACUCUGAUUGAAAUUGGUAGAAACCUGUCUGAAUUUCCUCCAACUCUCUCUUCUAUAUGUAUAUAAUCCAUUUGGUGAGUUAUGAGUUAAUCAUAUUUUCCUUUUGUGGUAAAAGCCAAACAGUUGCCUACUACUGCUGCCAAGUUACGUCGAUUGUUGAAAUCAAAGCACUCAUAUAUUGAACGCUAUAUGGGUCCGGUACUUAGCAUCAUAAAAAAUUCUAUGCAAAAUGCUGCUAAUUUUGAAGUCAUUGCUCAAAAAUUGAAAGAGGAACGUAUGGAAGUGGUAAGACCUGCAUGCUCAUGUUUGAUUGUUUUGUUAUAUCAGUGAUCCAAAUUGAUUAUUUUUCUUUGAGAAUUUGAUGUUAAUGCCUUCAAUGGAUUGCCAACAUACAUUGAUUUUCUUUUUCUUUUCCUUGGAUUUCGUUAGAAUCAGACCAACCAUCUUUUAAACGAGGAUGAUGGUCCAAAACCUUAAGGUCUACUACGAUGAAUUGCUACUUUUUGUGCAAGUUCUUGUAAUUCACUCAGCUGGUUGUCUUCGGCAAAUGAAAGGAAAAAGGAAAUUCAUCCAAUCCAGUUCUAUUGAAGAAAAAGAAUCCUAGUUGAUCUUACAAAAUUAAGCUUUCAUAAUUUGUUAACCCAUGGAAUGUGAUUAAAACUCAUGGACAAAGGAUGUUCCAGUUGAGAAAGGGAUUUGAGUGAUUUUUAGCAAUUAUCAGUGAUGUCUUCAUUAGAAGUAAGUUUAUGGUUUAUAGCAGUAAAUGCUCAAUAAUUAGGUACUCCUUGUAUAUUGGCUGACCGGGUCCCAUGUUUGUAGUAGGUUUUGUGAGCUACAGAGGAUUAACUUCAGUCAGUUUUCCAUGUUAUGGCUGUUAAGAGCUAUGUCACCAUUUUUCUUUGUUUACAUCAAACUAAUCUUUUUUUUUCCCCCCAUUUUUCCUUAUUUGUGUAGGCAUCAGAAGAAACUGAAGUUUUAGUUCUUGAUACUUCCUCAAACUUGAAAAUUCCGAAUGUUGGAAGGGAGAGUGUUGAUGGUGUUGAUGCAUUAGUUGGUACCACGAUGCCUCACCCACCAGCUUACACCCAGCUGAAACAAGAGCCUCCAAAGGUUGGAAGCAGUGUCGCAGAACUUGACAGAAAUGGACUAGGGUCUUUUGCGCAUCCUGGAGAAGCAAUUGCUUCAGAAAAUAAAGAAGCUACUCAUAUUUCAACACUUUCCAGCUCUGGUCAAAGUAGAGACUUGAAUGCUUGCAAGUCACCUUCACCAAGGGUUGUGAAUUUGAUGCCUUAAUGUGGAUUUUUUUUUUUUUUGGUUAAGAGGUUUAGCAUUCAAUUUCUUUUUCUUUGGUUGUGAAUUUGAUGCCUUAAUGUGGAUUGGAUUUUUUUUUUUUUUGGUUAAGAGGUUUAGCAUUCAAUUUCUUUUUCUUUAUAGGUUACUGAAGCUGCUGUUCAGGCUCUAAAGAAGCCGAACCGUGGUUUUGGAGCACUGCUGGGUAACCCAAAGAGAAAGUUUGAUGGCGAGAAAAAGGUGAGUUAAUCAUUUGCUAGUAAUGGUUGUUAAACAUCUGCUAUGUCAUUGUCACAUAGCAAAAUAACUAUUUCUGAGGCCUGCCAGUCACCCAGUUUGUGCAUGUGUGGUUGGGAAGAAGGCAACAAAGGAAGAAUAUAGUUAAACAUUUGCUAUGUUAUUCUUACAUAGCAAAAUAACUACUACUGAGGCCUGCCAGUCAGCCAGUCUCUGCAUGUUGGUUGCAAAGAAGGCAACAAAAGAAGAAUGUUUUUUUUUUUUGAAUCUUCAUUCCAUGAUUCACUUUCUUUUCAAUUUUUCUUGUCAACUAGCAUGUACAUUUGCCUUCUUGUUGCCUUUUUCGUUGCGUGAGUCAUUAUGAAUUAUGAUUUAUAUUAUACGGAAAUUGUGAGUGGGCAACUGUUGGGCUAUAAUCAAACAUGCAAAAUUUCGGGUCCCAUGACUAAGCGCUGCUAUCAUCUGGAUUUGUGUGUUGUUGCAUUUUAUAUUUGGUUAACACCCUUCUUAUUAUCCUCCUUUUGAUUGUUUGUUUGUCUUAAUUAGGACAAGGAAGCUAUGAAACUAGAGCAGAUUAAAUCCUCAGUCAAUCUUCCAUUCCACUCAAUUUUUGCAAGAGAUGAACAGUUAAAACCAGUUGAUGUGAUGAAGUCUGAACCAAAUAAGCCUGACAUUCCAUUUCCUUCAUCUUUUGGUAGUGGGCAACAAACGAAACCAAUCAUAGAGGAAUCCAAUAGAGUUACAGUAGUUUCCCAAUCAGAAGAACCCGCUCCGGCUGCUAGGUCUGAUACAGAAGAUAUUAUUACGUUGGAAGAUGAUAUAGAUGAAGAGGAACAAAACCUUGGUAAUUUGGAAACUGCAAGUGCGCCCGGAGAGGACGGUUCUGCAGGGUCUGCUUUGGAAAUGGGUAAACAAGAUGAGACCAUGUCUCUCUCUGAUUUAUCAACUAGUUUCCAGGAGUGCUUCCACUCUGCUAACAACAAUAGAAAACCUGGAAAGCCUGAGAGAUCUGAAGAACCUAGUGGUUUUUUGCAGCUUAAGCCGUUUGACUUCGAAGCAGCUAGGAAACAGAUCGAGUUUGGAGAAGAUGCCAAAGAAAAAUCAGCUGGGGUUGAUGGAAACAAAAGAAAACCAGUGAACUCUGGAGAUAAGAAAAAAGUUUCAGCUGUAGAUCAAGCUCAAAAAGAUGAUGGAACAAAAGAACUGUCACAAGGUAGACGACGUUCUGCUUUUCCUGCAACUGGAAAUCGAAGUGCAACAUUUCGCUGAGUCUCUGGUAUCAAUCAUGCUGCUCUGUGUAGCAGAAAUUAGUUGAAUUUUGGAUUUUCACAAUCAUGUUCUUGAUUUAAAUGGAAAUUAAUGCUGGUGGACAAAUUCGCAAUGGUUGUACGUAUAUUUCCAUUGCUUGAGGUCUUGUCUGAUACAGCAUGAGCUAACCUGAUCAUCUUUUGAUAUUCAGUAACAGGAGAGAUGUAUGGUCUGCAGGAGCCAAUGAUGGGCAAGUGAUACCUGAGGCCGGUGUCUAUUUGAAGGUAAAAUGGGCGAUGGUUCUAGGUUUCAUAUUAGGUUUUUGAUAGUCUUGAGUAAUUGCCCUACUAUCUUCAUAUUUAAAAAACAGGAUGGUUUCAAACCAAAGUGCGGUUUGUAAUCAAAAGCAUUUGAUCUUUUUGUUUUUGUAACUUUACGGGUUUUAUUUUUAGAAAAAUGGUUCUGUACUAUGGUUUAUUUCUGCCUUAUUUGAUAUUGUGGUCAUCUUAGGCUUUAUUUAGUGUAAUUUUUCAGUUAUAUGUUCGUUUGGGAAGAGGAAAUGAAGUUAAUUUUAUUUCACACUUGCAUAAGAAAAAAUUGUAAUGUUUAUAUUAUUUUUGUUAAAAUUAUUAUUUAAAAAUUAUAUUUGAUAUCUAUUAAUAAUUUUUAUUAUAAUUAUAAUUUUCUUUUUCCUCCAUCAUCUCAAUUGCUUAUAACUGCUGUUGAGGAUGGUUGGUGCGAUGUUAAUAAUUUGUAAAGGGCUUAGUAACAUCUGGUUCCGUGAUGUCGGCCAAACCAUAUCGAAGGGCUUAAUUUGACGGUCAUCGGGGCCUCCUGCCCAGCUGCCCUCCUUUACGGAUUCCGCUUCCGCAAAUUAUUUUAUAUAAACUGUUGUUACAUGAUAGUGGUGGCCGGAUGAAAAUACUACAUGACCAUAUAAUGCUUUCGGUGCAAUGAGUGAAAAAGAGAAAUUUUUAUGUAUUCUCGGAUUGAAGGAGAAAUUUUAAGAUUAAGAUUGUGGAGUGGUAGCAGGAGUAAAUUAUUUACUUACAUCACUAUGAGAGUGUGGAACGAAAAUUAGAAAUUAUGUAUUUUCUUUGUCUUAGAUUGAGAGUGAAUCAUUUUAAAUUAUAAUUUUAUCCUUAUUUAAAGAAUUGUAGUUUUUAAUUAUAAAGUAAAUAAAAAAAUAUAUUUGCACAAUAAAUUAUUUAUUUUGUUAUUAAUUUUAAUUAUAUAAAUUAAUAAUAAUUAUUAUUAUUCUUAAUCAUGUGAAUCAUGAUUUUUUUGUUAAUUUUNNNNNCGUACAGCAGAAAUAAAUAUGAUAUUUUUAUUUUUAAAUAAAUGUGAUAUUAUUUUUAUUUUUAUCAAUAUAAUUAUAUUAUAUUCAAUAAGGAAAUGAUAAAAAGAAAGAAGUGGGAGUAGAUUUCUACUUUUUAUUCAAAAACAAAAAUGAGACCCACAGAGUAGAAGCCUAACUCUCCUCCUUAGAUGAGUACUAAAACGUUUAAGUAGGAGAAAUUCAUAUUUUUGACUCCCACUCUACAAAGUAAACAUAAUAAUAAUAUCAUAAUAACAUUUGAUAAUUCUAUAUAUUUGUGACGUCAUAUCUCAUCAAUUGAUUAAUAAAAUUAAAUGGUGAUUAUUUAUGAAAGAACAAAAUUAAUUCAUGUGAGUUAUGGUUAAUAAAUAAAUAAAAUAUAAAAUGUUAAAUUUUGACUAUAAACUAAUUUCAAUAUCUAAUAAUUUAAAAGCUCAAUAGAGCUAUGAUAAAAACUAAAGGGAGGAUUCUUAAUCCGAUCCGGGAUCUUAAUCAGUUCAGGACCGAUCCACUUCCAGCUAUUACGCGUCAAACAUCCAUUUGACGAUUGACGUGUCACGCCAUCUCACUGUCCUCACAAGAAAACCCGUUACCUUCAAAAUGCUCCAAACCCAUCAACGCCGAAUUCAAAUCAAGCCCCAAGACCAAAUACAAAGCAAAAACAAAUAAACAAACGUCUGUUCAUUCAGUCUGAAAAAAUCAAAAGAAGUAAAAGGAUUGGCGAUGGCGAUGGCGGUUGAAGGAGGAGGGACAUUAUCGGAGAUAUAUCAAAGUGCGAAGAAGUUGCUGUUGAGAGCGAGAGACGGAGUUGAGAAACUGGAGAGACUGGAGAGCUCGACGUCGACUGGGGGAUACGAUUCGCCGGAGCUCUCCUUCGCUGUCAAGAAAGAUAUUUCUCAGAUCCAGUCACUCUGCGUCGAGAUGGAUCGCCUAUGGCGCUCCAUCGCCGACAAGUCUCAGCGCGAUCUCUGGAAGAGGUACCUAUUCAUUUACUGUUUUGCCACGUGGCACCGAAUCAACCUUGUGUCGUGUCCUAAUUGCUCUACGCCAGUUCGGUUGCAAUUCUGUGCAUGAACCGCAAUUUUUAUACUGAAUAUUACAUUAUUGAUUUUGUCUGAGCGACAAGGCAUGCUUCCACGUUUACUUGUUGCUUAGUUUUAUUGUUUUGCCUUCUAUGUUAACAGUCUAUAUAAGUUUUAUAUGUGUUACAGGCAUGUGUAUAUAUGGAAGUACAUUAAUAGCUGUUCAUGCUGUUGCUUGCUUGAGGUCGUUGGUAUAUUUGCAUUUGGAACUAAAUGUGCUUGGUGUGGGUUCGCUAUGUGUGUGUGUGUGUGUGUGUUUGUUUGCGUUUGAUGUUAAAUGGAAUUACCUUCUAUCGAGUCAGUGCCGCAAUUUGAUUGCUUGGUUUUUCAGAGGUGUGUUUUUAUGUUAUGUCAUGCAGAAAAGUUGAACAAGUAGCAGAAGAGGCUGAAUCAUUGAAAGAGAGUCUCGAUAAGUACUUUUUAAGAAAUCAGAGACGGAUAAAUGAAGCUAGAGAGAGGGCGGAAUUGCUUGGAAGAGCUGUAUGUUUAUUCAGUUUUCGUUAGAAGUUUUGAACGGAUUCUGUAGUGUUUUUCUUGUCUGGAAACGAGAAUUAGCUUUCCAAUCUGAUGAAUUUCUUUUAUGUUAUAGAAUGGAGAGUCGUCUCAUAUUUUGAGAAUUUUUGACGAGGAGGCGCAAGCAAUGCAGUCAGUACGCAAUUCAUCGAGGAUGUUGCAAGAAUCGUUUGCAACUGGGACAGCCAUUCUUGCCAAAUAUGCAGAACAAAGGGAGCAUCUAAAGGUAUUGACACUUAAGCUCCUUGUUUACAUGCACAGUUGCACACUAGAAAUUUUUGCCAAGCUCACUCAAACUGUGUGCAAACAAAGUUCACUAAACAGGGUCAAAUGAGAAAUUUACAUUCUUGUCAUGGUUGUAUUCUUAACAUGAUUAAAUAUUUAAAUGAGAACAAUGUUAGAUCCUCAAAGCAAUUAUCUUUAAUAUUGAUUUAUACUACUGCUAUAGAAAUUAUAAGUGUUUGCAGCACCUGCACAAAUGGCUGCAGAGAAUUUAGUCUGUCUAUGGUAAUAAUUUUAAAAGCUGGUAACUCCAAAUAUUCAACAGUGGCUGACAAAAACAAUCCUCAAGUUUUAAAGUAAAAGCAAACUUUGCUUUGAAAUAAUCAGUGACAACAAUGACGUGAAAGUGUCACCAACUGUUUAUAUAUAAUAUCUCCAAUAUUCCAGAAUUUAGUUUCAUAAUGGCUGGCAAAGACUUGGUUUUUUUAAGGUUUAAAGUAAAAACGAUCUCUGCUUUGAAAUGUUCAGUGGCAACAGUGAUGUAAAAUGAUCAGCAACUGUUCAUAUCUAGUAUCUCCAAUGUUUAGAAUUUUGUUUAAAAGAUCCGUUCCAUCCAUAAAAAAAUUUCAUUCUGAAUAAGCAACUCAAGAUUACACUUCGCAAGAACACACCAUCUACCAUUUCUCACAAAUUUAAAUGUCACAACCUAUGAUCCAUUACCAAUUGUGAGAAACGGCAGAUUAUUUGUUCUAAUGAAGUGUAAUUUGAGUUGCUUAUUUAAAAUGAAAUUCUUUUAUGGGUAGAAGGGAACUUCUAAACGAAGUUCUAGGAAUCAAAUUAGCUGUUUAGAUUUGAAUAGUUGGUGAUGCUUUGAUGUCACUGUUGCCACUGAUUCUUCUCGAAAAGAAACAGAUUUUUAAAUGGUAUUAUAGAGGUCACAGAAAAAAAAUAGUCAUGCUAUCAUUGAUAGCACUUGCCACUGAUGUUGAUAAUGAGUUUAACUGAUUAACUUCCAUCUUUGGUUCAGAAAGCACAAAGGAAAGCUCUGGAUGUUCUCAACACUGUGGGUCUGUCCAAUUCAGUAUUGAGGCUCAUUGAGAGGAGGAACCGUGUCGAUACAUGGAUCAAAUACGUAGGAAUGGUUUCUACAGUGGUCAUCUUAUAUUUCUUCUGGAGGUGGACUAGGUGAUCCGAUCUUCAUACUUAGCCACGCAUAGAUCAUUAAUCCGCAUACUUUGGAAUGAUUAAGUUUUGUUCUUGAUAUUUGCCCCAUAAGAGGGUUAAUGAGGAUGUACAAGGCAUUCUUUGAUGAGAGACUAUCCUCUUAUGAGGAUGUAUAAAGCAUUCUUUGUUAAGAGACUAACUCGUAUAGGACGGACUCCCAAAGAAGGUUCUUUGCAAUUCUUGAACAUUUAGAGCGAAGUUGACGAAACGUGCUAGUUGUUUUUGUAUUUUGGCAAAAGGGGAAUUACAGAGUUCGAAGAUUCUAAGAAAUGCGCCAAUUUUGUUUUGUUGUCAGAACGCAAAAACGGCCUGAUUGUGGACGGUUAAAUCCGGAAUUAUGUAGUGGAUUUGCAGUUAUUGAAGGGCAUGCUUGGGAAAAUAAUAUGGUCAAAUAAAAUCAAGAACAAUUAUAUUGUAUCUGCUGUUUAUGCGUCCGUACUUGAAGGUGUCCACGUGGCUGGUGUGUGUUUGUUAAACCAGUAAAAUUAAGUAGUGCGAAGUUCUGAUCGCCGCUCAUUGAUUGUUUUUUUUUUUAACUUUAAAUAAACUAUGAGAAAAGGCUUUGAAUGAGUCGCAGAUAAAUUAAAGUUUUUUUUUUCUUCUUCUAAAUUUAUAUCCAAUGGUUCGGCACAUGUUAUUUUCUUUAUUUUUAGUGCACACGGUAAACUAUUGAUAGUAUUUGGUGUAAACUCACUUUCAAAUCGAUGCUUCACGAAAAGUCCAAAUGACGCGCUAUGAAAGUAAUAUAGAUAACUAGGAUAAGUGGAAAUGAUAAACGAAUAAAAUGAAGUAAAAAGAAUUUUUCAUUUUUAAGGGUUACAAAAUAAGAAUAGUUAAUUACUUAAUUAGUUGACUUGCUAAAAAUUUUUCAUGCAAACAAAUGGUCUGGACUGGAAUCCGUUUAAAUGGAUAGGAAGAAAAUUAGAGUGUCGUAAAAGUACUGGAGUUUCAAAUCCCCUCACGUAGUCACAAGGAUUAGAAGAAAAUUGAAUUGUUAGGCAAAAUGAAAAAAAAGAAAAAAGCUUAACAUUUUUAUUUUCUAAAAAAAUGUUUUUCUUAGUUGUUUUGUUUUUUAAUUUUAAAUAUAUUUAAAAUUUUGAAAUUAAUAAAUGACUUUGAAAACUUGAGUGUGCUCGAGCCUCGAGAUCUACUCAAAUUCUUUUACAUUAUUACAUUAUGAAAAAUUGUAUGAUGUCGUGAUUAAACUAUUGUAUCAAUACUAUGAUAAACAUAAAUUUUAGAAAUUAUAUAUAAGACUAGUAAGUGAAAUGUAAAAUAAAUUAAUUAAUAUAAGAGUGGUAAAUAAUGUUUUAAAAUUAUAAACAAAACAAACACUUAUAAAAAUAACAUAAAAAUUAUAAAUCAACAUUAAAUUUUAAUGUAAAAAUAGUUUAUUUAUUUAAUUUAUUCAAGCAAAGAAAAACUUUACUCAUCAAUUGAAAACAAAAAUUUUGUAUUGAAAACAAUGGGAAUAAGUUUUAUUAAUUGAUUUAACCAUGAAUUUUAUAUUCAUGUCAGGAUAUUUAUAAACUGUUUUUUUUUUUCAUUUUCUAUCAUAGUAUUUGUUUACUAUACAAGUUGAUUAAGUAAACUUAUUAUUAUUAUUAGUAUUAUUAUUAUUAUUUAUGUGGAUCAAGCCAAAACAAAAUAAAAAUACAUUUGAAUAUUACUAGACAUAUAUGGAAUAUUAAUACAAUUGAAUCUAACUUUCAGUUUUAUACAUAAUUCAUCUAGUUUCAAAUUUUACUUCUUAUACUAAAAGAUCAUUUGAGGUUGCUAUCGAGGAGGUUUAAAAUGAUGCAAAAUCACUUAUAUCACAAAUAAAAUAUGAAAAAAAAUUUCUAAAAUUUGAUUUUGAGAGUAAGUUUUAUCCUUAAUAAAAUUCCACAUAUAUUAUCACGUCUAUUACAUAACCACAGAAUUAUCAUUAUUUGAUUUAGAAAUAAAAAUAGUAAAUAUAUAAUGUAAUCAUUAUUAUAGUGAGUUUUUAUUUAUUUUUUCAAUAACUCUUAUAAUAUUUACUUAUUUUACAUUCAUUUACAACUCUUCUAUUUUACUUUUAUAAUUUAUAUGUUAUUUUACACUUAAUGUUGAUGUACAAGUUUUAUAUCACAUUUGUAAACAAGUUUUACUUUAUAUUUACAUGUAUUAUGUUUUAUUUACUUAAUUCAUGUUUUAUUUUAUACUUAAUGUUGAUUUACAAGUUUUAUAUUAUAUUGAUAUAAGUUUUUAUUUUAUUUACUAAUGAUAUAUCAACUUACCACUGUUAAUUUACUUAUUUUACCUUCAAUUUGCAAGUCUUGUGUUUCAUUUACAUAAUUUAUUAUGUUUUAUUUUACGUUUAAUGUUGAUUUACAAGUUUUAUGUUAAAUUUACACCUCUUAUAUUUUAUUUACACAAUUUAUGUUCAAUUAUAGUAUAUUAUAGAAUGACUCAUUUGACAUUACAAUACAAAAUUAUAAACAUAAAUAGAUGUAUCAAAAAGUCUUGUCGAAAAAUGAAUCCACCUUAAUACGGACCUGUCUCAUUGUUUUAUAAUUAAAGUUGCACACUCUUACAAUGAACUUGAAGAAAUUGAAUUCUCAACAUCAAUAAUGAGGUGUCUAUUACUAAUAAUAGUUUAUAAAAAAAAUAAAAAAAAUAAAGAAAUAUGAUUAAAUUGAUCAAUGUAAUUUUAUUAAAAAAAAGAAGCAUUUUUAUUACAAAAGCAAUCUCAAAAUAUAUAUUUUUUGUAGUUACAAAAAAUCAUGACCUAGUGGCGACCUAGUGGCGACCUGGUGGGCGUAUAUACAAAAAUCAUAAUAUUUUUAUACUGAUUACAUAAAUUCGGUGAUCACAGACCACAGUAAAACCCUGAAACCGCCCAACGGGGUUCUUUACCAGAGGAAAAAAGGGAGGAAAGAAAAUGACUUUUUAAUAUAACGGCACGGGUUUAAGCCAAAAACGGUGGAAUCAAAUCAUUGACACGUUCGUGCGAUGCCUUCACUCCUCAGGCAAACCAGACUCCCGCAUGUGAAUGCCACGUGAACGUAGCUUCUUCACAUAAUUUUUACCCCAAUGUCCAAAUUACCCCUUAUCUUUUACUCCUUUUUUUUUCUUUUUAACUUUGCCCGAUUUUGAAGUCUAUUACGUAUUGCGGACUGCUGCCCUCGCUUGACGUGUUUUUUCUCCUUUUUUUUUUUUUUCCCUCUCCAAACUAUUCUUUUCAAUUUUAACUAAAUAAUUUUUUUUUUUAUUACGAACAUCAACUUAAAAUUUAGGUUAGUUAGACACUUCCCCACUUCAUCCUUAAAGUCAAGUAUUCAUAUCUAUCUGUCUAUGGUGAAUAAUUUUUUUUAUUUUUUAAACUACGAACAAGUUAUCUUUUUUUUUUUUCUUUUCCAAUAUCACUAUUUAUCCACUUUUAGUUUAAUUCUUUCUGCCUAAGAUGAUCAAUUUAAAUUAAAAAUGGGAUUUUGAAAUUAUUUACUAAAAAUCAUGAUUGUUCUUUUGACGUAUUUGAAUAAAGUUUAUUUGGAAAAAUUAAUGUAAAAAAAAAAAAUGUUGGAAGAUUACGACAAUGGAAAUGUAGUCUCUGGUGAAAUGCUCUGAUUCAAUCAAUCAUCAGCAAAUGCGGUUCGCACGUUGGCAAUGGAACUCGUGAUAGCACAACCGUGAAAUGUCCUUCAUUUGGGAGUCCACGUUAAUCACAUGUGGGUCCAUCUUGAGUGCUUUUGUGCUUUACAAUUAAAAUAGACAGACAGGCUGAUGACCUGACAAUUUCGAGCCUGAUAAAGCCCCUUCAUCAACUUGAUCAGAAGGACAGGACAGCUAUUAAUAGAAAAAAGCAGCAGACUAGUACUAAUCGAGAAGUCAAACAGAUAAAAACUAAAACUAAAUAAUCUAAUCUCCUCCUAAUUCACUAAAUUAUUUUAUUUCUAUUGGUAUAAUUAAUUAAUUGAUUGAUUAAUCAAACAUGCCUUCACAAUUAAAUAGUUUCAACAGUGUAAGUUGAACCACGUGUCAAGCAAAAGCAACCAUCAUUUAUUAUAAUUUUUUUUUAUUUUUUUCGAAAAAGGAAAAAUCAAAAAACAAGGCAAGUUGAUGCCAACAGGAUCUGAUCCGGAAGGGUAACCGAGUCAUUUCGCCGUCAUGCAUGCCUCAAUCCGGAUUGCCUGCCCGCCCCCACGUUGGAAAACCAGGGACGCAUCGAUAAGCAGUUUCAACACCCAAAACACAAACUUGGGGGCGGGAAUUGCAAAACGAAAUAACAGCUUUUGCUUUUGCUUUAAUUUUUUUCCGUUUGUUUUCUUAAAAAGAAAGAAAAAAAAAAAUACUCCCAGUUCCACAAUAGAGCCCCUGGUUUUGCCUAUUUCUUUAAUCCUUUUACGCAGACUCAUGAUAAAUAUCUCCAUCUAUCAGUCAGUCCAUACGGUUUCCUUUCAUCACCAACCCCACCAACGAAAACAAAAAAAACAAAACAAACCCCCUCUUCAGAAAUAUAAUUAUAAUUUUCUUUUUCUAUUGAAUUAAGCUUGUUGGGUAUAAUUUGCUAAUUAAUCAAAGAUCGAUCUAUGACGACGGAAGCGGUCAGCAAGGUUGGAUAUGCGCAUAGUAAGGUUGCUAUGAAGAAGAAGAGCGGUUAUCGAGGUCGAUGCAGGAGAAGAAAUCACGACAGAUAUGCACCCGAUAAUAAAACGGUGCCGAUGGCGCUGCAGCGUCUGUUUCUUUCUUGCAAAGACGUCUUCAGAGGCCCUGGAACCGUUCCCGCUCCUUCUCAUGUCCAAAUGUUGUGCUCUAUUCUUGGUAAGUGUUUUUUUUCUUACACUUCAUCAUUUCUGGUCCAAUUUUCUUGUUUUUCAUUUGGCCGCUGCACUCGCAUGACGUGUAUGUUGUGAAAUCUGAACCCAUCAUCAUCCUUCAUCCAUGCACAUAUAUAUUAUCAGUCAUGAGAAAUUUUGAAUCAGCCAUUAAAAAAAGAAAAAAAAAAAGAAAAGGAAAGAUUCAAUAUUAUCAAAUCAAUACCAUUUUGUUUCAUGAGAUGAUCUAUGAAAGAUGGGAAAGGAGCACUGCUCCUUAUUUCAUUUCCUGUCACGUCUGUGUUUCAAUCAAUUGUAAUAAUACAUAUAGCCACGUAAAAAGCAAGGGGCAAUACUCUUUACAGCACGAAAACCUUCUCAAAAAAGGGGCUUUACUUUAUUGGCAGUAAUGAAUUGUUUUGAGCAAUUCAAUUCAUCAGUGCACUUAUCAUGUUUACGUAGUUUGUCAAUUUGGUUCCAGUUUUUGGUUCUUUUUAUUGGAUUCAGUGCCGAAAUGUCAUGUGUGUUCAUAGGACGUACUGGGAAAAGGAUUAGAAAUCUGUACUGAAUUUUUUUAAAUUUUGGGGGGGGGUUUUUUUUUGGGGUGGAUGGGGUUAUGGAUCUAAGUGGAUGGUACCAAUUUUCAAAAAUGUAGUUUAAUUAACUUUCCAGUUGAAAUUACAAAACCAAACCAUCCGAAAUGGAUUCUUCGAGAAAAGGUGGGUUCAGAAAACAAAGUGGUUGCUUCUAGGUGAAUCCAGAUUUUUUUCACGCGGACACAUGGUACCUUUUGGUUGAUUACCCAGCCACAGUGUUGCUUGAGGGGACAAAAAUAUCAUAUUUGUUUUUUUUUUUUUUUCCAAAUUCCUUUUUAAUUCGUAACUCAAUCUCAUGGGAUCCUACUCAGCAGCCAUUGUGAUUAUUUUUUUUACCUGACGACGCAAAAAUCUUUGCAUUAGAAAGGAUACAUAAGCACAUUUGCCUACUGUUGCUACGUGUACAUGUGCAAUGGUUUGGUUGCAAAACUGGAAGCAUUGGCACAUUAUAUAUAUGUGUGUUUUUUUUUUUUUAAUAUGUAUAAAUGCAUGGAUCAUGACACUUGGCUAAGUUAAAAUUUCCAUUUUCUCGUUAUCAUAAAGAUUGCCAGUGACUCAAACAAGCUUUUCUUUUUAAAUUUAUGAUGCUACAGAUGAAAUGAAGCCAGAGGAUGUUGGGCUUAGCAGUAAGUUACAGUUACUUAGUGCCAAAGAUGCAAUGAAAGGGACGCCAAUUGUCACAUCCACUACAAUAUACAAAUGCCAGAACUUUUCGGUAAAGACAUAAGCUAUUCAUAUUGGGCUAAAUUAAAUUCUUUUAUUAUCGUAUACUAAUUUGUAAACCAUACUAAUUAAUAGUGCAAAUUUGAUUUAGAACUUGAUAGAUUACCUUUUGGAUUCUCUUUUGUGCAGUUGUGUCUUUUCUUUCUUCCUCCAACUGCUGUGAUCCCCUUGCACAACCAUCCGGGAAUGACUGUUUUUAGCAAGCUUUUGCUCGGGACAAUGCACAUAAAAUCGUACGAUUGGGUCGAUCCUGUUGACGCAAACGAUUCUGCAGCCCCCACAAAACGUGAGUACCGCUUACCUUAUACAUAUAUGUCCAUGUAUAAUGCACACACGAACACACACACACACACACUCACAUAUCAAAACAACACGAUAACUUGAAUGUGCUAGCUCGGACUAGGAUGAUCAUUUGUGACUGAAAGUGAUGAUUUAAUUAAUUUGCAGCGCGAUUGGCGAAGUUGAUAGCCGACAGUGAUUUCACAGCACCUUGCAACACUUCUGUGCUAUAUCCAACAACAGGAGGCAAUAUCCAUGAAUUCACAGCCAUUACGACAUGUGCCGUGCUCGAUGUGCUUGGACCUCCCUACUCUAAGGACGAUGGUCGGGACUGCUCAUAUUACAAGGAGUUGCCACUUCCCGCGGUUCCAAGUAAGCGAAACAAAACCACUUGUUACUGAUUAAAAACAACCUCGUUUAAACCUCCUCGAGUAGCGCUUUCAGAGGUCUUACCAAUUAAACCCACCGAUUUUGUUAAUGCAGAUGGAGAGAAUCAGGAGGCAAAAGAGGAUGAUGGUGGUGAGAGUUGUAGGUGGUUGGAAGAGAUUGGGGUGCCAGAGAACUCACACAUGGAUGAAAUUGAGUACUUGGGACCGCAGAUAAUUGAGUAGUAGCUGUAACUAGCUUCAGCCCACAGUCGCGUGAUAAAAAAAAAUUUCAACGCAUUAUCUUCUUUUGUUUCAUAGCUAGUCAAUGGUUUUGUAUUUAUAUAUACACAUAUAUUACGUUGUUUCCUGACCUGAGUUUUCACUAUGUUAAUAGCAAAAUUUCAUUUCUUUUUCUUUUUUCUCUUUAAUCCCGGUAUCUUCUUUAAUAACUUGAUUACUUGAGUACACUGUACCAUUGAAAUCAUGGUUCAUGCCAUAGUUCCCUUAGAGGAAGGUCCAAACCCGGCUUAGGAGAAAUGGAGGUUUGGGCUGUCGAGGGCCUUGGUGUUGCUAUGUUCCCAAGAGAUGUUUACUUGGGCUGUCGAGCGCGCCGAGAAGUGCUUAAUAUUACAUCAAUGGGCCGGGCUUGUAACCGACUACUACACAUUCCCAUGGCGGCAAUCCUGAUCAGUAAUUAACUUGGGAUUUUGCAUUCAAUGAUUGCCACAAUAAUAUCAGCAAACUUUUCAGAAGAACCUUAAUUGAUAAUUGUCAUUUUGCAAUCAUAGGUUAGUUGAUGGAUAUACCAUGGGCCCUGAAAAUUAAUUAAAAUAUCAAACAUUGUAUGCUCCUAGGUUGGAAAUUUUUCAAAAUUUUCAAUAGAAAAAUAACCUCAAAAUCAAUAUUUUACAUGUGAAGAUCUGUUUCAUUAACAAGCGCGAUGGGCCAAACGGAGGGAGCCAGGAAUUUUAAGCUGUUCAUAUUUGACGCCCUAAUUUGGGAUUUGCUAAUACGGAAAAACUUUGAGCUGCUCACUAAUUUAUAUCUUGACUUCGAGAAUCUGCGCAAUUACUAAUUAGUAGCCAUCAAUAAUUGUCAAAAAUCAAUUUUGAAUUUCGAUAUUUUUGAAUGCAUUGGUGUUACGUGUUUCUCCAUACGCGUUAGUAAAUUUGAGAUGGUGUAAAUUUGUAAUAAACUAAUAAUAUCUUCUUUUUUUUAUAAUUUGAAAAUCAACCCAAUCUGAUUCUCUAAAUUAACAAGAUCAAAUUGACUAUCCAAUGUUCAUUCACUAGGAAAGUCCUAAAGGUCCCUCUAAACUAGAAAGUUACUCAAAUCUAUGGCCAAAAUAAAGUCUUCUUAUAAUUAAAGAAACAACCCAUCUUUUUUUAAGAUCUUCUGACAAUGAAUUUUCAAUUAUGAUGGGGUUUGAAGUUUUGAAAUUUUCUAAGAAUUAUUAACAACUGAAAAGAGAAAGCAAAAGAAAAAGGACGAUGUGAUAUGGCAUGGGACAUGGACUUCCCACCACCUUUACAUUGCCAUCAUGCAAAAAAAAAGCUCUCAAUUUUAUGCUUAGCUUGUUCUUG